UAUUUUCAUCUAUAUUUAAUACUCUAUGCAUACGUCUAAAGAUUUGAUGUGACGGGAAAUCUAAAAAAUUUUGCAAAAUUUUUUACGAACUAAACAAUCAGUUGUCGUUGAUCAUUCCAUAUCGUGCACGCAUGACGCAGCACAUGCUUGUACCGGUUCCCUCGGUUUCUCCGCAAUUGGAAGCAUUCCUCCUGCCGUUCAUGACGUUUGGUAGGGGAUCCGUGAGUCGAGCCGGCGUGUGGCCUGCUGGCGGCCUCGUCGAUGCGCCGGCCGCACUCGCAGCAUUCAAUUGGGGCAAGGCGGCGGCGCGUCAUGAACGGCAGGAAAUGUUCGGUGGGUUCGGUUGGGUUGGGCAGGAAUUUGUCAGCGAAACUGGAGUACUGUACUGCAGGCUUCUCUUGUCUUCACUGCUGGAGUAGUAAGUACUACUGUCGAAUUAAUUACAGGGCUUGUGUCUGUUUUAAUUUGGUGGGUCAGCACUUGCCUCGUUUUUUGCAAGAUGUUUAGGCCCGCAUUGCCACUGGUUACUGAAGACUGUGCGGCCUUGGGUUCGUCUUCGCCACGGGAGAAACCGGAACUGAUCUCAGGAUUAUGGCCUUGUUUAGUUCCAAAAAUUUUUGCAAAAUCUACACCGUAGCAUUUUCGUUUGUAUUUGACAAUCAUUAUCUAAUCAUGGACUGACUAGACUCAAAAAAUUCGUCUCCUCAAUUCCGACCAAACUGUGCAAUUAGUUUUUAUUUUCGUCUAUAUUUAAUACUCUAUGCAUGUGUCUAAAGAUUCGAUGUGACGGGAAAUCUGAAAAAUUUUACAAAAUUUUCUGGAAACUAAACAAGGCCCUAUGUAUACCACCGUACUACGUGUGUUCCAUUCCGUCCUGGGCCGUUCCGGCGUUCCCAAAAAAGAGGUCGCACGCAGCAAACCUGCGGGAUGGAACCAGCACGGCCGGCCCAACAGGUGUACCGUGUAGUACGUUAACAGCGGCGUUGACGGAUCGAGUUUUGUGGAACGAAUUGCUGGACAGGACAGCACAGCACACCUAUGACGGAUCCGGAUCCGGAAGGCUGAUUUGAGAAUUCCAUGACGGAUCUUCACCUGUGGCUCGAGCGGCUCGACACGUGGGCUAGCUGGAACUGGAAUGGACUGCACGAGCGGACCCAGGCCACCAAGAUUUCACUGCCAUCUGUAGGUCUUCAUUGGUUUGGCUGAUAAACCACGAUAUACUAUUAGCUGAUUUGUUGGGAAAGAAAAACUUUAUUAAAUAGCUAAUAGAUUCGGCUGAGAAGCUCAAACGAACAACUGCUACUACUAGUUCUCAAAGAUGCUGCUGGCAGCGGGCUAGCGACCGAAAGCAGACAUGGCCCAUGGUAGCUGUAGCGCCCGCGCACCAGGAAAUCAGCGAGUGAUUCUCUAUGGUCUAUGGACCACCAUGCAUUUUCUCCACAAACUUAUCCAGACAACUUCUCAGGAGUUUUUUUUCUCCAUGAAAUGUCGCCAUGCCAACUUCUUUGGAAAAACUUCUGUUUGUGAGAAUUUUUACAUGGAACCUAUAGGUUUUUGGUUAUUCAACUACCGGGGAAAAUACUUUUUGGACACUUUUAUACAUCUAAGUUUUCAGGUGUUCAAACAUGCCUGAAAAAAGUCAUUCAAAUAUAAGUUUUCAGAACUAUGCCUUUUUGAUGAACCUAGGAUAGUUUAAUUCAGUAGUUGCUUAUGAUGAAAAUUGUCUUUUUUUUUUUUUGUUGAGCUUCCGAUACAUCAUGGAUGAUCACGUCUAUGGCUAAGUAUUCUUUAGACAAGUAUAUAUUUCUUAACUAAAAUGUUCUGACAUAUCAAUAUAGAUAGUAUAAUUGUAAGCACUCACUGUUUUUUAAACAUUGGUAAACAAAUAUAUUUCUCUGGUAAGAAAAAUCCAACAUAUAUUGAGCAGAAAAGGAGGUUAGUAUAUACCUAAGAUGGCAUUGCCCUACCUAGUCAUUGAGAUUUUUCUAUUGACUAAUUAGUGAACAGCACACUUAGAUAUUAAUAUAUUUUUUAUGGUAGCACCAUUAGCCUCUCAAUAUUUCACUUCAAGGUCUACCACCGAUAUUUGACGAUUUGGUGCAUGUUUAAAUAAACUAUUUAUGCAUAACAACACAAAAUUUAUCAGCAGUAGGUAUUAAACAUAAAUUUGUAAUACUUACGUGUUAUAUGACUAUAUAUCAUGCAUGAGCAUGGAUUAAUAUAAACAAGCUUAUAUAUUUUUUUCAAAAAAGUUUUAUAACUAUUUCAUAUCGUAUUGAAAGGUUUUAGAACGAUUAGUAAACUUUUUUGUUCAUGCAUGGCAAGUGGCAGCAAAUAAUUAGGAUGAAACGAAAAUAAAAGGAAUGAAUAUGUGCAAGAGAAAAAUAUCACAAACAAAAAGUGAGUGGGCACGUCCGCGAGUCGCGACAACGGGCAUAGCGCUAGCAGCGGAGCAAUCUCGAAUCCCAGCACGCCUCCUCGGCUCCUCUUUUCCACAAAAUUGUAUUGUAAAAUUUUAAAAAAAUAAAAUUAACUAAAUUUAUAUAAAGCGAUACCAAAUCCAAGUUUUUAUGUUACUAAAUUUAUGUUACUAGCUUCCCCACGCUUUGGCAUUCUACCGUUACAUAAUACAAAAAUAAAUAACCACUGUCAAGACUAAAUAUAUUUAGGGUUGUAAAAUACAAGUAAUAUAUACCAAAUCAAUACGUAAAAAAUAAGGAGGAAACUGAGAUUACCUUGCUAGCAAAGAUCUACGGAUCAAAUCCAAAUUUUUAAGGCUAAAUUUAUAGAUUAGUAGAGAUUCGGCAGGUAGAGGAGAGCAAGGAAGUAUAACAAUAAGAUCACGGUCGGAUAGAGAAGCUGAGGGAUGAUUUUUAAAUUAGAGCUCGGAGUCACAGAUCUUGGCUCCGAGCUCGACGCCAAGAUCUGUGGCUCCGAGGUACCAGCCACGUCAUCGGCACAUAUGCUGCCACUUUAUACGCGAGUAACCACCUCAGAGCCAAGAUUUGUGGCGCCGAGAUGUGUAAACUCGGAGCCACGAGUCCUGCGCGCUGACCUACUGGGUCCAAAUAUGAGUUUAAGUUUCAGAGGGUUUAAAUAUGAAUUUUUUUCAAAACAAAGGCUAAAAAGUAAAAAAAAAAUUAUGCAUCGCCACUUUCUGAGCCCAUCGCACGACAGAAACGGAGGCCCAAAGUAUACACGAUGUGGGCCGAAGCCUGCCUGUGUUGUUGCUUUGGUUUCGUUACAGGAACAUCGUACCGAAGUGGUCUUUUUUUUUCCGAACCCAAAAUCCAGGCUUUCAGGCAGCACAGCACAACUGCACAAAGUAUGAGGUCUGUUUUUUUUUUCUUUCUUUUGAUUUUGAUGAGAUGACGAUAAUUGAGCUCUCUGGACGGGCCCUAGCAUGUAGCAUUCCGUUCCAAAAAUAGAAGUAAUUAUAGAUUAGGCUAAGUAAACUUUUCUUAAAUAUAACUAAGUUCAUAUAAAAUAGUAUGAAAUUAGGUUAAUAUAUUUAAUAAUAAAUCUAACGAUAUUCGAUUUCUUAGCAUAGAUUUAGGUCCAGUCAUCUUUGAGACUGACUUGCUUAGAUCAACUCUAACGAUUUUGCUUUUUUUUUUGGCAAAAUACGGAGUUUGCCAACUCACAAAUGAAUAUGACAAAGCUAAAAAGAGUUUAUCUUCAACCGUUCUUCAUAAUUCUUUUCUAAAGAAAUAGAAUUAUGGACCCACACGUUGUCCAUGUCUUUUUUCCUCGCACGCCGCUGCCAGUUCGUGUGGUUUUUUUCCUUGAUCGUCGCCAGGUCUUGGCUAUUUUCCGUCGCCGCCAUCCGCGCGAUAUUGCUAGCGAUUGCAUCUAGCCGACCACUUGGAUGGUGGGCGAUGGCGAUACCACAGACCAAUCGAGCGGGAGAAGGAGUAGGCGCGCGGGAGAAGGAUACACGCGCAAAAACACCAAUGCCAGGCCUCGCAGACUUUUGCAUAUAUGCACAGUUUGACCCUCCAUUUGUCAAGUUGCCAAAUUUGUCAAUGCUAAUUGCCAAACCGUUGGAGAGUAACUUUUGGACUUUUUCCAAAAAAAAACAAGAAUGCCUAACUUAAUUGCAAAACCGUUAGAGUUGCUCUUAGGAAAACAUGACUCUUUCUCAACGCGCGCUAGGACAAAUAGCUGCAACACAUGCCUACCCCGCUCGGCUUCCUCCCCUGUGUUACUGUUCAUCUUCCAUAGCGAGCCACUGCCCCACUCGCCCCACCUCGACCACUGCCUAGGCCACCGGAGACCUCGUCGUUGACCACCCCGCCCACCUCCUAACCCCCGCUAGACGAGCCCGCCCUCCCCUAACUUUGUCGAACACUCGCCCUCGCCGCCUAUCCCGCCCAUCCGGUUGUCCUGCCACCGAGCAUGGCAGCACCGCCGGCCAACCCACCACCACCUCUGUGUCGUGGCCACCGCUAGGCCGGCCGACCAAAAUCUAUAGCUAAGGAGAGAGAGAUUCCUAACCCUAACCCUAACCUCUGCCCUCGUUGGCAGCGCUGCUGCCACCUCAUCCACCGCUGUCGACCGCUCCGCCCACCGCUCGCCCCUGCCCCCGUCCCCGUCCCUGCCCCGCCCCAUUCUUCGUUUUUGGUGUGCGGGGGCGUCGUGUGCGCCGAAUAGUGAUUGUAUCAGGAAAAAGCUAUACAUUUUGGCCUUGUUAGUUUGCAAAAUUUUUUGGCUCUGACUACUGUAGCACUUUUAUUUGUAUUUGACAAUUAUUGUUCAAUUACGGACUAACUAGGCUCAAAAGAUUCGUUUUGCAAACUACAGGCAAACUGUAUAAUUAGUUUUUAUUUUUGUCUAUAUUUAAUGCUCUAUGUACAUGUCUAAAGAUUUGAUGUGAUAGAAAAUCUUAAAAAAAAAUUUGGAAACUAAACCAUGCGUUUGUUUUUUGAAGGGUGAGGGAGAGCACUAGAGUAGCUCAGAUGUCACUCGCAUGCACGAGCGGGGCGACGCACAGUUGACAGUUCUUCUCGACAGCCCAUGCAUGCAUGCACGAAGGUCAAGGGCUAACUAUAUAGAGGUCCUGAACCUGAACAUAUAGCCGGGCUGAAAAGGGCAGCAUGGGCCUAGCUACCCAUAUGGUCGACCAAUCGAGCUACAGUCCUAGAGAGGUAGACGACACCAGCCGGAGCAUUAACCACGAAAGGUCCCCAGAUCAAGCGCUUAAGAGUUAGGACAAGAUGACGGGUAGCCCGGUUAGGAGGACUGGCAAUGCAUGCAACAUUACCACUUUAUGCAUCGAGUCUCGGGUGCCGUCGUGUCGAUCUCAUCUGCUGGGAGGAUUUGCCGCUCGGCCUGCAACGAUAUGGGUACAGAGAUCUCUAUACCACACUGUUUACUGGAGGCGUCUAAAAAUGCCUUUAAAAGUCAUGAAAAUGCCACGUACUCCACAUGGCACAUGCAUGGCGAGCUACCUGCAACCUGCGCCACGGACCUGCUGCGUCCUGUGCCACGCACUGUUCAUCUUGUCAGAAGAUCGAAUCAUGCAUGCAGUAUGCAGACGUGCCGAUCCGGCCGGGUCAAAAGUCAACAACUAACGACGGUGUGCUUGCAGUGCUCACCUGUCUCUCGUUGAUUAGAACCAAGUUGGAGCAUUAGCUUGUGGUCACAGACCAUACAGCCUAGCAAAACUCAGCUGUUGAGAUCGAUCUUAAGAGAUUCCGAUACGAAAUGCAGAUAUAUUUUUUUACGAUUUCUGCGUUAGCUAAUCUUGCUGCUUCCUGUGCGAUAUCUGAAACUCUGUCGCAGUUUAUUAAGGGGUGUGUUUCAACGGUUAUUAUUUCUUUUUUUUUUGAACGCAACGGUAUUAAUUUCUUCCACGGUCACAUAUGCUUGCAGUUACUGCAACGUACGUACGGUAAGACAGACAGACUGAGCUAGCUAGUACGUCUGGAUUAACAGUGACUAGCUAUGCAUCGUCAGCAUGCCGACAUGACGACACACAGCUCUCCGCAGCUGAAACACGUAGAAUAAUUGAACAUAUAACAUAUAAUCACCCGAACUCAUUCGCUUGGCUGAUAAAAUAUAGCUGAAAAUACUAUUUACUGAUUUUUUUAUAAAAAAAAUUACUAAAUAAAUAAUAAAUUCAACAGAUAAUCUCAAACGAAACCAGCAACCUACGUCACAGAAAGUAGUAGAUCCCAGCUGAAAAGCCGUACGUACGUCACAGAAAGAGAACGUACGUACAUCCGCACAUGCCCGCACGUACAUCCGUACUGUCUAGCUCCUUUCGCCUCGCUCCGGCUACGGAGAACGAAACAGAUGCCAGAUGCGUGAGGUGAGGUGAGGGAGUUCAAUUGCAAAGGUGACAUGUCACAAAAGGUGGGAAACCAACCAACCCCUGCAAAAAAAAAGCUGCCUAGCUCGCUUUCUUGCAGCACCGGCACGCCGGCGGCACAAGGUCGUGGAUCCGCGUAGCAGCCGCGGGACAAACGGACGGACCACCCCGGCCACCACCAGGUCACCACCCUACCCGGAAAGCAGCUGCUCGAUCGAUCAAGCUAGCUAACUGCUCCAUCAUCCCCUAAAUUAAAUUAAGCCGUGGUCCAAGUCCUAACGCAACGCACGCAUCGUAUCUGUACGCGUCCCGCGCGCGCAGCACAUGGCGCCAGCCAUCGGCGAGACGGCGAGCAGCGCGCGACGACGAUCCCUCUGGCAGUCUGUCUGACGCCGCCGCACAUGCGCUGCCGGGUCCCUGCUCUACAGGCGCUAGACCGGCCCUGUCCUGGCGCUACAUACGCCGUCGUCGAGGCUCCAGGCUGCUCGCCGCGCGCGGGGCAAACCAGCUUGUCCAAGGCCUUGUUUAGUUUCAAAAAAUUUUGUGAAAUUGACAUUUUUCGUUUGUAUUUGACAAAUAUUGUCCAAUCAUGGACUAACUAGGCUCAAAAGAUUCGUCUCGUCAAUUCCGACUAAACUGUGUAAUUAGUUUUUAUUUUCGUCUAUAUUUAAUACUUCAUGCAUGCGUCUAAAAAUUUGAUGUGAUGGAGAAUCUGAAAAAUUUUGCAAAAUCUUUUGAGAACUAAACAAGGCCCAAAUCUGGUCCAAAUACAUGCACGGCACGCACAGUCCAUGUCCAGCGUCCAUGCAUGCACGCAUGUUCGUUCUGCCGUGAAACAACGAGGCAGCGGUGCGCGCGCGCGGAAAGUGACGGGAACCGGGACAAGGUCUCCGAGCACCGAGCGCGCCUGCGGGUUCGUGACCGGACACGGGCAUAUUUGCACGCGCGCGCGGAUUUCCACUGCAUGCAUGCACUAACGCGAUAUCCCUCCUCUCGGACGCGUGCACGGUACGUUGCAGGCAGGGCAGGCAGGAAUCGUCGCAUGCAUGUGUAAUAAUGUAUCCCGCCUCCUCCAGGUUCGUUCUUUGGCUCAGGACCGUGUGCUGAAGUUAGGCCAUUUCGGGCUGGGCAGCUGGUGGACUGAACAAAAACAACCAAUAGUUUUGGGCAACGGCACUUUGUGUGUACUUAGAUUCCACUACAAGUGCAGUACAGCAGGGGCUAUAAAUAUCAUCAUGUGUCGGUUUGUUACCUCUGAUGAUGAUUUGGACAACACAGAUUAGUUAAACAUGGUGUGCAUCAUUACCAAACACACCGGAUUUGAUCUUCCAUUACGUAGAUGAUUAGAAAGUAAAAGAGUAAGAAGGGGGUUCUGCAGCUGCCUGUUAGUUAUUUGCUGCUCUCCAGCUAGGCCAUCUUCUUGGAUUCGGCAUGUGAGGAGAAGUGGAGAACAGAGGAAGGCUGGAGCCUGCAGGUCUAAGAUCUUCUUCAUACUGAUUACAUAGUCUGCGCUGUCUGGCCAAAUUAUGGGGGUCAAUGAUUGGUAUUUGAUGCAUGUUACCUUCGAGAUGACUAAAAAAGUUUAAAUUUAGAAGAUAGAGUUUGUGUAUAAUGCUCUUUUAUAUACUCUGUUUGUUAAAACGAUCAAAUAGACAUCUAAAUUCAAGCUGAGAGAGGACUUUAACCUAGUUGGUUGGAUGUGUGACCACACUUCCGACCCAAUUAGUUGAGGUAGACUCACUUCCUACAAACACGUGUACUAACGUUAGGAAUAGAAAAGUUUUUUUUUUGAAAGUGCUCUUAUUUGGGCCUUGUUUAGUUCCAAAAAUUUUGCAAAAUAUGAAUAGUACCCACUUUUGUUUGUAUUUGACAAAUAUUAUUCAAUUAUGUACUAACUAGACUCAAAAAAUUCGUCUCGUCAAUUUCGACCAAACUGUGCAGUUAAUUUUUAUUUUCGUCUAUAUUUAAUACUUCAUGCAUGCGUCUAAAGAUUUGAUGCGAUGGAAAAUCUGAAAAAAUUUGCAAAAUAUUUUGGGAACUAAACAAGGCCCAACGUGGGUCUCAACCCGAUGUCGUAGGUUUAAAUCCUACAGAGUGUGAUUCCAUAUAUUAAAAAACAAAGUAGCUAGAAUUAUAAAACAAUUUAUAUAGAAAGAAGUGCUAGUUAUUAUGAUUUUUUACACAUUCAAUGUUCACGGGAAAACUAGGUUAUAGAUCAAAUUCUGUAUAGCAUCAACGGAAGGGGGGGGGGAGUAAGUGAUACUCCAUCAAUUUCUUCGCUACUACAAAACGGAUGUUGAAAGACAAUCUCUAGAUUAACAGAGCCAGGCAGCAAGAGAGACAUCUAUAAAAAUGGUGAGACAUGCCAUAUGGAAGUCGUUUGCCUUUGUUAAUAUACAAUUAUCCGAGAAAUGCCAUACGGGGUAUAAGUUGCUAGACGAUCACACGAACCAUGAGGACAUGAAUAUAACAAAUUGAAAAUGAGAGGUUGCAACAUAUGUCUACGGUUGCAUGUUAGUGUACCAUGAAAGGAAUUCCAUAGUGUACCCACAAAAAUAUCAAAAAACAAUGAUUAUGAUCAAAUUUUCACCAUAUUCACACUCAUACAGUAAAAUUUUAUGCACUCACAAGGCAAACACACCCAUCUCGUAUUUGCUCUAGCUCCGCCACUGCUCGCAGCUACCUCGAGCACCAUUGCGGCCUUGGGAGGAAAAAAGAAAUAUCAUGUUAAGUGUGAGUGAAUGUGAUAAAUUUUGUUUCAUCCCCACAACUUGAGACAAAUCGGUUGAGCGGGCGGGUUCUAUACGAAAAUUCUAGUAGAUGAUAAUGGUAGCUAUGGAAAACUGCUUGGUUCAAGAUCGAGAGUGCACCUUUAUUUAGAAUAAAGGUAGUAAUUCAAUUAUUUCGAUACCGAGAGCAUCCGUAGUUUGGAGUUGGUUCAUGCAGGGACGGUUUCCUUAUGUGUUACAGUGUUAUAGGUGUUAGCAUGUCUGUCUCGUAAUGUGGAAGAAAAGCUACAAAGAAAAAGAAAAAAAAGAUCCCGCACCUAUACCAAAUCCUUCAAGCUAUGAAUUACAUGAACAUAUUGUAUUAUUUUUUUAUAUCGAAUACCAUGUCUCGGGCUGGCUCCACCAGUGGCGGAACCAGGAGGGUUAGCAUAGGCAGUGACUCUCUAAGUCCAGUCGCUCCUUUAAAUACUUAUGUAAAUAUUAAUAUUUAUAAUAAAAGAAAUAUCAAUUUCACUCUUUUUUUCAAAAAUAAUGAUUUUGGUAAAAAAUAGUGUAAUAUUUUUUUUUAAAAAAAAUUCUUCAAAUAUAUAUUAUGUAUAUUUUAUUACAAUAAAAAAUACUGUCAUAUUUAUUCAAUCCCUUGAUCGAACUCGCUGGUUCCUGUCACUGUCCGCCACUGCCCCGUGACAUGCAUGCACGAGUGGUUUCGUGAGGCAGGCGCACGCAUCGGCGCGGGACGACGCAGCACCAGCUAGCACGGCACCACCGUUGCCGACGUCGCUUCCGUCCCGUCCCCGUACGUCGUCCAACGCCGCGCGCGGGGCGUGCGGGAGCCGCAAUAAACAGUACUACCGCACCACCGGCAGCAGCGCCGCCAUGCGUUCGCGUGUUCCGGUAUGCGCACGGGACGGCAGCCGGCACGCCAUGCAUGGGCCCAUGAUGGCGUGUGUUGAUGACGAGGCGGGCGCAGACGCCCGGUGCACGUUGACAUGGGAAGUCCACGAGGAGCGGCACGAGCCCGGGCGCGCCGUACGGAGACUCGGAGAGGGAGACGAGCGAGCGCAGUGACUGACGCGCUGGUGCUCGUGCUCGCACCGCUCACCUGCUGAUCCGUGGCGUGGGGCGGAUCCAGUCCAAAGGAGAGAUUACCUUUCGUUGUACUGCACUGCAUCACAGCAUGAUCAGUGCAUCUGAAGCUAGCAAGUGUACUACCUGUAGACUGUAGUAUCUUGCAUCGGGUGAAUCAAGGCAGCACACACUCAGGUACCGAGUCAUGCAUGUUAGUGCCGCAACCGCGCAAACGCAUAAUUUCAGUCGGGAAAAUGCUCAAAACCAUCCAUCACACAGUUGCGAGAUGACGGUCUUGCCCUCGUCCAUGUCGCAUCUGCAACGACGAGUAAAUAGAUGUAACCGGUACCGGCCAGACAGACGAAACGAACUCGCCACGCCUGUGACAUGAGCGCGACCGAUCGACACGCCGCAUCCGCCACGCCCGUUCCGUGCGCCGCUAGACCACGACGCUGCUGCUGCCCCACCCCUCACGCUUUCGCCGUGCCGCCCGUGUGACUCGCCCGCACGCGACCACGACACGCACGCGUCGCUCUCCCUGCCCCUCGCACCGGCACGAGCCAACAAAACCGCCCGUCGCCGUCCGCGCCCCCUCCUCGGCGCGGCACCGGCCCGACACGCCCGCACAAGCGCCCGGCACCACCCCCACACCCGUCGCCGUCGCGGUCGCGGCCGUCCUCCCGGGCCCCGGCGCCCGGCCGGCGGCGGUGCCCGCCGCUCGCGUACGUGGGGCGGAAGCGGAAGCUACCAGCCACCACGGCGCCACUAGCCGUAUUUUUUAACCACCGGAGUCCGGAGGCCGCCACUGCCGCCUGCCGCUGCGCGCGGCACGCCAGCGCCCACCUGCUGGCUUCCCCCCCUCGCGCGCGCCGCGGCCAUUUCUUUACUCCACCCCUGCCGCUGCUGCCGCCGCGGCACAGCGCCAGCCCCGCCCCCACCACCCGGUUCCGCGCCCCGCGGCCCUCGUCGCGUCCCCCAUUUUUUUAAACCCCGCUUGUCUCCCUCCUCCGCCUUCUCUCCCUCCCCUCCCCGUUGCUUCCCAGUGCCAACUCGCGCAGCUCCCCCCAUCCCACGCGCGCUCGCUCGACCGACCACCUCCGCGCCUCGGCCGACGGCGUGUUGAGACCGCCGGGAGUAACGCGCAGGCCUGGCUCGCGAGAGGCGGCGGAAGCUUCAGAGAGCGCCGUGGAUGAGCUGGCGCCUUGGCACGGCGGCUCGUGUGCUGGUGCGCGGCGAAGAUUCAUUGGCCGGAUUCUCACGGCGCCUGAGUUUAUUAGGCCUUGCUCCUCCGCUGAUCCGAGUUUUGUACCCCGAAUUGCCUCGCGCUCUCACUUUCGUCGAAAAGCAGGGCGUCGGACACUAGCAGUUCGUAAAAGGUGGUGGUGGUGGUGGUAGGAGAAGGUGGGGGUGAAUAUUCGCGUAUCCUGUCGUGGGAUUUGGUUCAGGAUCUCGGCGGGAUGAAGGAUCAGGGAUCGGGCGGCGUCACUCCCAGCCCCGCCGAAGGUGAGGUUUUCCUUGCUUUGCUUGCUUGCUGCAGUCCAAUUUCUCAUGGAUUUCAGCGCCACCUUUACAUUGCUCAAUUCACAACAUCUUGUGAUCUUUCCAUGAUUCAUGAUCGUCACAGUCGAGCUGUCCACCUGUCUGUAAUCGCAGUUAUUACUCCUUGUUGCUGCUGUUUGCUUGUGGUUAAUUGCGAGGAAUUUGAUUCAUGAUUCUUCUUUACUUGAUCUGGGAUGCAGUGUAAUAAUUGGCUCCUUUUUUUUUAUUUGAAAAACCAGGGGAAAAGAAACCCAUCAACUCGGAGUUGUGGCAUGCUUGUGCCGGGCCCCUGGUGUCGUUGCCCCCGGUGGGUAGUCUCGUCGUGUACUUCCCGCAGGGCCAUAGCGAGCAGGUGCAGUAUUUAUCAGUGUGUAGGAGGAAUGGAGUUGAUUCAGGGAAUAUUUUCUGAAAAUUUUCUUGUUUUGGUAAUUCUGUAUCAGGUUGCUGCUUCAAUGCAUAAGGAGCUGGACACCAUCCCCAGCUACCCAUCUCUGCCUUCUAAGUUGAUCUGCAAGCUCUUAAGUCUCACCUUACAUGUAUGUCAAUGCUAGUUUUAUCCUCUCGUGCUGCAUCUAGUUUUAUCCUCUUGUGCUGCAUCUUAUUUUUUAAACCACCCUUACCCGGUUCUUCGAGACAGCCUGGGAGGUGAGCAGUAUGUGUUUUACUAAUUGGGCACACCAAACAUAUUUCUUGUGCAGGCAGAUUCUGAAACCGAUGAAGUUUAUGCCCAGAUGACGCUUCAGCCUGUGAACAAAGUAUGUCAGCAUUCUUUUUGAGAGAAGUUAUUUUCGUUGUUGAUUUCUUAAGUGGAAAUGAAAAUUAUUUUUCUCAAUGCAUCUAGUAUGAUCGAGACGCAAUGCUGGCAUCUGAACUGGGUCUGAAGCAAAACAAACAACCAACAGAAUUCUUUUGCAAGACGCUGACAGCAAGCGACACAAGUACGCAUGGGGGAUUCUCAGUGCCACGCCGUGCAGCUGAGAAGAUAUUUCCACCACUAGUAUGCAAUAUUUCUGCAUAACAUUGGAAUAACUUUAAUGGAUCUAUGAAUUUAUCAGAUGCAAUAAAUACCUCCCUUACCAGGGUAACAUGUUCGAUAGGACUUUACGAUGCAACCACCAGCCCAAGAGCUCAUUGCCAAGGAUCUGCAUGAUAUUUCAUGGAAAUUUCGACAUAUCUACCGAGGUACUGAAAAUUGCCGUUCACUGAAAUAAUACAACAACUUUGUACUGUAAUGGAUGUGAAUUGUUAUGCACGCUGCCGGAUUUUUUUUUGUGUGCACUAUUUAUGUUUGGCCUUUAGCAGAUAUUAGAAUUCCAAUUUUUCAUGAAACUUUUAAGGAAAUCUGUACUAGGACAUGAUGUCUGAUAAAUCAGAGGUGCUCUGUACUUAUCACUAUACUGUACCUGCACAUGCAGGUCAACCGAAGAGGCAUCUUUUGACAACCGGUUGGAGUGUCUUCGUCAGUACAAAAAGGUUGUUAGCUGGUGAUUCAGUUCUCUUUAUAAGGUAAUAUAAUUAAUUCCAGUCAUUAAAAAGUGUGUUUGUGUAUCUAGAUAGUUACAGAAAACAUUGAUCUUACACAUUUUUUCCAGGGAUGAGAAAUCUCAGCUUCUCUUAGGUAUAAGGCGUGCUAGCAGACCCCAACCAGCUCUGUCAUCAUCAGUUUUAUCAUGCGACAGCAUGCACAUUGGAAUCCUGGCAGCAGCAGCCCAUGCUGCUGCAAAUAGUAGCCCAUUUACUAUUUUCUAUAACCCAAGGUAUUUUAGUUGCUAAUUGUACCUUAUUGGAACUUUCAGCCAGUACUUAGGCUAAUGAAUCAUACUAUUCUUCGGAUAGGGCAAGCCCAUCGGAAUUUGUCAUCCCUUUAGCAAAAUACAAUAAGGCUCUGUAUACACAAGUGUCCCUUGGAAUGCGAUUCAGAAUGCUCUUUGAGACAGAGGAUUCAGGGGUAAGAAGAUACAUGGGCACGAUCACAGGCAUUGGCGACUUAGAUCCACUGCGGUGGAAGAAUUCUCAUUGGCGAAACCUUCAGGUAUGUCGUUCAACUUCCUUUUCAUGUUAAUCUGCAGCGAUAUCCAUUUAAUUCAGCUACAUCCAGUAAGAAAUUAGUUGGGUCAAGAAGUAAAGUUGGAGUUACACGAGUCAACCCCGAUGUUUAGAUUUUAUAUAAGAUUUACCUGACACUGUAAGGAAAUGAGUUUCAAAGACUAGCACAAAAGGAUGGCAGAUUCAUCUGACUUCAUCUGUCUUUUCCACUUCAGGUUGGUUGGGAUGAAUCAACUGCAUCUGAGAGGCGCACCCGUGUUUCGAUAUGGGAGAUUGAACCAGUUGCUACACCAUUUUAUAUAUGCCCACCACCAUUUUUCAGGCCAAAGCUUCCUAAGCAGCCAGGAAUGCCAGGUACAAAUAAUAUUAUGGUAUCUGAAAUAAUUUUCUCAAACACGCAGGGGAGCUGCGCAUCAUUGCAUUGAUAGAAGAGAGGACAACACACACUUGCGCGCGGGUGCACACACACACGCACACACCUCAGAUGAAAGGAUUACAUACAUGCCUGUAAAAAAAGUGACCAUACAAAAAAUAAUGCAAAACACAAUUUGGCGUUAUCAUAUUUUUUAAUUCUGUUUUGUCAUGCAUUUGUUAAACCGAUUGACUAUCAUGUGGCCCUGACCCUGUAUACUUAAGUUGGCGAAAAUUUGUUUCAUGAACUUAGUUCUUACCUUUUCUUGUCUAUAACCUUGAUACAUAAACUACCAGCAAGAAGUGUUGUUUUCUUGUUGAAAAUCACAAAUAAGUUGCAUAGACACGGAGAUUCCCUUUCCUAAAUGUCAUUGCUUCUUGUUCAUGUAUAAACUAGACUUUUAACUAUGAGCAGGAAUACUGGCCUACUUGCUUGUCAUCUUUGUGUUGGAGUCACUUCUUGAUCAACAAUUCAACAUUCAUGCAUCUAUUAUUUGCACUGUUUCAUUUUUCUGAAGAUAUACUUUGUCCUUCUAUAAAACGAAUCUUGCAGAUGAUGAAAGCGAGGUUGAGAGUGCUUUCAAAAGAGCGAUGCCAUGGCUUGCUGAUGACUUUGCCCUGAAAGAUGUCCAAAAUGCAUUAUUUCCAGGCCUGAGCCUAGUUCAAUGGAUGGCUAUGCAGCAAAAUCCUCAGAUGCUAGCAACUGCUGCCCCUGCUGUACAGUCGCAGUACUUGACCUCUAAUGCACUGGGUAUGCAGGAUGGGAUAGGCAGUGUCAGUGAAGAUCCAACAAAAAGAUUGAGUAUGCAGGCCCAAAAUAUUGGCUUACCUAAUUUACAGGCUGGUUCGAAAGUGGACCACCCUGCAAUUAACUCAUUAGCUCAACACCAGCAACAGCCUCACCAUGUAUUGCAACAACAGCAGGUCCAACCGCUGCAGCAAAGUUCUGCGAUUCUACAGCAACAGCAAGCCCAGCUGUUGCAGCAAAAUGCCAUUCACUUGCAGCAGCAGCAAGAACAACUCCAACGGCAACAAUCACAGCCGCAGCAACAGUUGAAAGCUACUGCAUGUCUUCAGUCAUCGGACCAGCACAAGCUGAAAGAGCAACAGCCUUCAGGUGGACAAGCUGUCUCACAAGCACAAUUGUUAAACCAUAUUUUGCAACCAUCUUCAUCUCAGCUACAACAGUUGGGUUUACCCAAGUCACCUACCCAGCGCCCAGGGUUACCAGGUCUAACAGCGAUGGGUUCUUUGCAGCAAUCACAAUUAACUCAGACUUCACAGCUGCAACAAACAGCAGAAUACCAGCAGGCACUCCUACAAAGUCAACAACCUCAACUACAACAGCUAUCACAAUCAGAACUGCAGCUGCAGCUGCUUCAAAAGAUUCAACAACAAAAUCUGCUAUCUCAACUGAACCCACAGCAUCAGUCCCAGCUGAUCCAACAAUUGUCUCAGAAAAGCCAGGAAAUUCUCCAGCAACAAGUUCUUCAACAUCAGGUGGGUGGUGCUGAUGCCAUGGGUCAGCUCAAACAUUUGCAGCAAACACCUUUGAACCAUACGACGGGAUCCCUGACACCCCAGCAACUUGUAAGAUCACACUCAGCACUCGCUGAGAGUGAAGAACCAUCCAGCUCAACAGCUCCAUCUGGCAGCCGUAUCUCCCCAAUAAAUUCAUUGAGUAGAGCACACCAAGGAAGCAGAAACUUGCCUGAGAUGCCAGCAACACCCCAAAUUGAGCACUUGCUUCAGGAAAUUCAAUGUAAAUCAGAUAAUCGAAUCAAGAAUGAUAUACAAGGUAGUAAAGAAACGGUUCAUGCACCUAAUCGUCAUCUAGCUUCAGAUCAACUUGAUGCGUCAUCUGCUACCUCCUUUUGUUUAGAUGAGAGCCCACGAGAAGGCUUUUCCUUUCCUCCAGUUUGUUUGGAUAACAAUGUUCAAGUUGAUCCAAGAGAGAAUUUUCUUAUUGCGGAAAAUGUGGAUACAUUAAUGCCCGAUGCCCUGUUGUCAAGAGGGAUGUCGUCUGGAAAGGGUAUAUGCAAUCUACCUACUGGACAAAGGGAUCAUAGGGAUGUGGAGAACGAGCUAUCCUCUGCUGCAUUCAGCUCCCAGUCAUUUGGUGUGCCUGACAUGUCUUUCAAGCCUGGAUGUUCAAGUGAUGUUGCUGUUGCUGAUGGUGGAAUGGCAAGCCAAGGUUUGUGGAAUAGUCAAACACAACGGAUGAGAACCUUCACCAAGGUUGGUUGCUUGGUAACACUUACCUAAGAAUGCAUUUAUAUAUGCAUACCUGUAUGUGUCACGCUCUCAAAACCAUGAAGUAUUCUAAUAUUCUCUUAGUAGUAGAUCUAGUGGAGUCAUAAUAGCUUGCCUUCUUAUGCUUAUUUUCUUAAUAAUAAUUUGAACAUUUUCCUGCAAAUUCAUGAGAAAACCUUGUUUUCACCAACUAAUAAAUAGGUGUGUAUUCAGUGUAGUAUUAGUGUUGAAGUAUAAGUGAAUUGUCCACCCUUCUCCAUCAUUAAGCUUUUAGGUUAAACUGAUUGGCUCAUGCAAUUCAAUAUAGUACCAUAGGGUCAAAGGUGUAAACCUUUUGUGCAUGCUACUCAAUAUGGCAUUAGUGCUAAAGGUCUCAAAUUCCAAUCCUGGCUAGCACAAUUAAAUAAAAUAAUUGUUACCCACUCCUAUUUCAUAUAUGAGGCUGGAGCGAGCCUUCAUUUGAGGGGUAGUGUUGAAGCAUAAGUGAAUUCUCCACCAUUCAUCAUCAGCUUAAGCUUUUGGGUUGAACUGAUCAGUGUAUGCAAAUGAGUAGUUGAAUACUUAGUGUUUAGAAAGCCAUUUGGAUGGCACUAAGGAACAUAAAUAUUUGCAUGCCACCUUGGAGUUCCCAUUCCAGCAUUGCAUAAAUGGGAUAAAUUGUGACCUGAUGUAGGGUGCAUGUAGCUCUAAGGCCCUGUUUAGAUUGGAGAUGCAAUUUUUUGGGGUGUCACAUCGGAUGUGUCGGAAGGAUGUCGGGAGGGGUUUUUAGAAACUAAUAAAAAAACAAAUAACAUAGCUCGUCAGGAAACUGCAAGACAAAUCUAUUAAGCAUAAUUAAUCUAUCAUUAGCACAUGUAGGUUACUGUAGCACUUAAGGUUAAUCAUAGAGUAACUAGACUUAAAAGAUUCGUCUCGCGAUUUUCAACCAAACUGUGUAAUUAGUUUAUUUUUUUAUGUACAUUUAAUGUUCCAUGCAUGUGUCUAAAGAUUCGAUGGGAUGGAUGAAAAAAUUUUGGGUGGGGAACUAAACAGGGCCUAAGCUGGACGAUGAAUUUUUAUUUACUCCCAUACAUAUAGCAUUGAUGAGUAUUUUGAAGUGUCUAUACUAAGGUUUGUGAUAGCAUUACCGCUCUACGACCCUGUUUUGGUCUUCGGUUGAAUACUCUGCUCAUUAUAUUUACUAAGUACUCCUCAAUUGUUACGAUGUGCCAAACUGAUACCCAGUGGUGCAGUUAUCCAAUAAUAGUGCAAUCAUAUUUACACUCAUCUUGAUUUGAAGGUUCAAAAGCGUGGAUCUGUUGGGAGAUCAAUUGAUAUAACACGAUAUCGAGGUUAUGAAGAUCUUCGGCAUGAUCUUGCAUGCAUGUUUGGUAUUCAAGGGCAGCUUGAAGACCCCUACAGAACGGAUUGGAAGCUGGUCUAUGUUGAUCAUGAAAAUGACAUCCUUCUUGUCGGGGAUGACCCCUGGGAGUAAGUUCCUACUUCUGUUUCCUUCAUCUCUUUGGUACAUCCUAACCAUGGUGUUUCCUUAACCUGUUACAUUUCUGAUGAUCUGAAAAUCCUGGCCUGCAGGGAGUUUGUAAGCUGUGUCAAGAGCAUUAAAAUAUUAUCAUCUGCUGAAGUACAACAAAUGAGCUUGGAUGGUGACCUUGGUUGCAUCCCUCAAACUCAAGCCUGUAGUGCUUCUGAUGACGCAAAUGCAUGGAGGGCCUGACGUACAUACCAAUAUGCUUCUUACCAAUUUUUUUAAAUGAUACUACUGAGAGUUAGGGUUAAAGAAGUGAAAUACACGUCUAACUAACUACGAAGUAUUACUUAGAGCCAACUCACUGACAGAGUCGAUGGAAAGCUUGUUGCAGAAGUUGUUCAGCGAGCUGCCAUAUUUUAGAGGUCUUGACGGCUGACGCUUUGUUCCACUGAAAUCGGGUAAUUACUCAACAUAAUCAUAUUAGUUUUCCUUUUUUUUGUCUGUAUGUUGGGUGGGUGGGGGGAUAUAAGACUUCUUUGAAGUUGAGAAUCUACUGUGCUUAUUGGGACCUACGUUCAUUGUAAUCUUACAGAAUUGUUUAAUUAUCUCAGUGUAUAUAUGUGCUGUAUAACUGUAAUUGUUGAUUUUGCAACUCGCAAUCCCCAUUGUAAUUGCUCCAGUGUGCUACUUUCACCACUGAAGUACUAGUAGAAAAUUAGAAAUUGUAUUGACUAUCUGCAACAGAAUUUGAUUCAGUAUCGGAUAUAUUUGCAGUUUAGAUGGGUCCGUAAUAACACUUGAAAUGUCUACCGUUGAACAAUAUUUUUUUUUGAGUGUCAACGGGGGGAGUCGCUCCCCACCUGAGUAUUUUGUAUUUCAUAUCGGCCCUGAAUGGCCUAAUGUCAUUGAACUUUUGCAUCUCCAUCGAACUGAUGAAGUUUAGAUACGUACAGAAAAGUUCAGAUCGAAAUCUAGUAAAAUAAGACACUCAUCCUUCCCCUUGUCUCGCCGACUCGAAGGCUAGUUCCCAUGCUUGCACAAUAUGGCGCUUGGAUGGUUGGAGUCUGAACCCCCAUUGGACUGAAACCGCCGAGCAUUGCUGCAGUAGUUGAUUCAAUCCGGUGGCUUGAUUCCUGAAGACCUUUUUGUUUUUGGACUUCCACAAUUGCCAACAACAUAGGGCGAUGAAGGUAGAGAAGCCUUCACUUGGGAUCAUAUCCGGGCGCGGCCAGGAAGUGACAUUGUCUGGUUGAAGGGGAGCAGCGAUACCCAGACAAUUCCAAAGUUGGGUUGCCAAAACCACAGGAGCAGAAGAUGUGUGCCUGAGUUUCUUCAUGCUGCCCGCAGACUUCACAAGUUGAGUGAUCAAUGAUAUGCUCUCGCAUUAGGAGUGCUCUGGUAUGGAGUCUAUCUUGUGAGAGCAACCACAUGAACAGCUGUACUCUCGGUGGUGCAAAGGACUUCCAAAUGAAGGUAGCACUUGCAGAUGCCGGCUGUCCCUUAGCCUUUAGCAUUCUGUAGAUGGCCCCACUAUCAAGCCUUGAAUAAUGGAGUACAGAACAUUGACUCCCGUCCUUAGCCUUUAGCAUUCUGUAGAUGGCCCCACUAUCAAGUCUUGAAUCCUGGAGUACAGAACAUUGACUCCCGCUUGUCCGUAGUCACCUAGGCAGAAAUGCAGAGCUAGCGUGCAUUCUGGGAUAUGUUUUCAGUCGCAGCCUCUGUUUGCAAACCUAUUACGAUUACGACGGAGCCGUUAUGCCGGAUACAGAGGACUUGCAACCUACUGGGCUGAUUUCAUUCUUAUUGUUGGCGAGAAUCGAUUGGACGGUCCAGUUCCAAACGGGCCACGUUAGGAACCAAUACAAAAGAAAAAAAAAAACUUAUCGUAGUCUCCUCUUUCUCUGAGGGAGAGUGGAGCUUGAUAAAAAAUAGAAAAGAGAUUGAGAAAAAAAGAAUUUGGAGCUUUUUUUUCAUUGUUAUGAGAUACAUGUAAACUUUCUCAACUUUAACUAGAUUUAUAGAAAAUAUAAUUUAUUAUGAUAGUAUAUUUAAGGAUCUAAUGAUACUAAUUAUAUAUUAUAAAUAUUAAUAUUUUUAUCUAUAGUUGGCUAAAGUUAAGAAAAACUAACUUCUGAUAAUGACUUCUAUUUUGUCAUAGAGGUAGUAGUUUUCAAAACAAGAAUUGGCAAAUCAAUGAGUUUUUCAAGUGGCUAAAUUUUUUAGGAGCAUUUUUUUAGAAUUAUACAGUACAACGCAGACACCCACAAUAUGCACACAUACUCACCCCUAUCAAUAUAUGUAUGUCUUUUCUAUAUUCUUCCACCUCCCUAGCUGAUCGAUACGUUUCUGUGCGACUAGGUGAACUUUACUAGGUGCGGAAAGAUUGUGAGUUACUCUCUCUGUCCUAUAAUAAAAGUCAUUAUGAGAUUUAAUUAGGUUUAUAAAAAAUCACAUACAACAUUUACAUCUCUAAAUAAAUUUAUUAUAAAAGUAUAUUCAACUAUCAAACUAAUGAUACUAAUUAUAUAUUAUAAAUAUUAAUACUCUUUUAUAUAUAAUAAUUGGUUAAAAUUUUAAAAAGUUGACUUCUCAUGAAGCAAGAACAACUUCUAGUUUAGGACAGAGAGAGUAUGUUGCAGAGCAAUUUUUUUAUCUUACUAAAAAGUAAAGAUCGGUAGUGUGUUUUGAAAGCUCCUGGAUGUUCUUAGAAAAAGACGAGGACUUGUUUAAUCCAUUCCUCAAAAGUUAUAUCCUAUGGUAUCGAAUAUUUUGACGCAUAAAAUAUUAAAUAUAGACUAAAAAAAACUAAUUACACAAUUUGUGACUAUUUUGCAAGAUGAACCUUCUAAAUCCAAUUAGUUCAUGAUUUAAUAAUAAAUGCUACAGUAACCUAUGUGCUAAUGACAGAUUAACUAGGCUUAAUAAAUUCAUCUCAUGAUUUGAUUCUAUAAUUUAUUUUUUUAUUAAUAUCCAAACACCUUUUGUGACAUCCCAUGUAACACUUAACACUCCAAAAAUUUACAUGCUAGAACUAAGGUCCGGUUUACUUUUUUUUUAAAAAAAUAUUCUCGUUUACAUCGAAUCUUUAGACGUAUGCAUGGAGCAUUAAAUAUAGAUAAAAAAUAACUAAUUGCACAGUUUGUCUAUAAUUUAUGAGAUAAAUCUUUUAAGCCUAGUUAGUCUAUAAUUAGAUAAUAAUUACUAAAUAUAAAUGAAAGUAGUAUAAUAUCUAAGGCCUAGUUUAGUUCCGAAAAAAUUUCGAAUUUCGGCACUGUAGCAUUUUUGUUUUUAUUUGACAAAUAUUAUCCAAUUAUGGACUAACUAGGCUUAAAAGAUUCAUCUCGUGAUUUACAGUUAAACUGUGCAAUUAGUUUUUAUUUUCGUCUAUAUCUAAUGCUUCAUGCAUAUGCUCCAAGAUUUGAUGUGACGGGAAAUCUUGAAAAAGUUUUGGUUUUUGGAGUGAACUAGGCCGUGUUUAGUUCCUUGUGGGAAAAAUUUCGCGACACUGUAGCACUUUCAUUUGUUUGUGGUAAUUAUUGUCCAACUAUGGACUAACUAGGCUCAAAAGUUUCGUCUCGUAAAAUUCGACCAAACUGUGCAAUUAGUUUUUAUUCUCAUCUAUAUUUAAUAUUCUUUGCAUGUGUUUAAAGAUUCGAUGUGAUGGGAAAUCUUGAAAAAUUUUGGCUUUUUUGGGUGGAACUAAGGCCCUGUUUAGUUACUCGCUCAAAAAUUUUGCAUCAAUCCAUCAAAUCUUUGGACACAUACAUAGAACAUUAAAUGUAGAUAUAAAAAUAAACUAAUUACACAGUUUGGUUAAAAAUCGCGAGACGAAUUUUUAAACCUAGUUACUCUAUGAUUAGCCUUAAGUGCUACAGUAACCCACAUGUGCUAAUGAUAGAUUAAUUAUACUUAAUAGAUUUGUCUUGCAGUUUCCUGACGAGCUAUGUAAUUUGUUUUUUAUUAGUUUCUAAAAACCCUUCCCGAUAUUCUUCCGACAUAUCCGAUGUGACACCCAAAAAAAUUUUUAUCCUCAAUCUAAACAGAGCCUAAACAAGGCCUAAGGCCUAACCUAAAAUUUUUUGUGAACUAAACAAGGCUGCGUCUGGCCCAUUUCAAAUGCAGUCCCCAGGACGUUCUAGAACCAUCCGGUCUCUACGCAGUACGCACCAGGCAGGCACCACCAACCAACCAACAGGCCAAGCGGUUAACCCCGCUCGGUACACAGGCCGCUACCAUACACCGCCGGAGCAGCUUACCCCGCCCAAAUCCAUCGAAACUCCCGUGCGCAAGCCCAAAUCGGAGCAGGGUAACCGGGCGGCCGCGGCGCAGCGGACGCGAUAGCGUUGGGGAUAAAAAGUGCGGGCUGGGAUUUUAGCUCGCCAGCGCCGCUGCUCUACCUCUCUAUACUCUCCUCUCCUAGCAUAGGGUUUAUCUUCUCCCAUCCUCUGCCCCCCCAACUCGCUUCUCGCACACGGCAGCCGGAUUCCGAAGCAACCCCAGGCAUAAGGUACCACCCGCUGGGAUUCUCGCUUGUUUGGCGUUGGAUUUGGCGGGCUUAGGAGUGGGAUUGGGGGGGCUCAGUUUGACGUACUCCGAUCCGAUUCCGAUUGGGGGUUCCUCUUUUCUCGUUCUGUGGAUCGGCGUGUAGAUUCAGUUCGGUGUUUUGGUACUGCACUAGGCGCGCUUUGAUUUAAUUGAUGAGUUCUCAUAUGUGCGUGGAUCGAGUGGACUCUAAUCUGCUCUACCUGUGAAUGUUGGGGGGGGAUUGGUUGGUUGACUAAUGAGCAGUUCAUUUUCAAUUGAGAUUUCGAUGGUUGUGAGAUUGCCCUCAAUAUUAGGUUGGUUUUUGACCAAUUUAAGCUCAGUUAGUGUCUGUCUGUCUGUCUGUCUGUCUGUCUGAAACUGCAGCUUCUAAUCGUUUAGAGAGCACUCGAGAAUGUCGUCCGUGCAGCUCUCUGGUGCCGGAGUCGCGGCUGUGGCCUUCACGAACAAGAGCCUCGUCUCUCAGCCCGCAGCUCUCCGGGUCUGCUCGUCAAGGCGCUCGGUCCGUAGCCUGGUCGUGAAGGCUGCCACCGUCGUCACCCCAAAGGUAUACAGCCGUAGUCUGUGGAUUUGGGUUGUACUGUGAGCCCAAUUUUAGCAUGAAUGCUCACGAUUCACUUCCAAGUGUUUUGUUGAAUGUAGUAUGCUUGUGUAUAGCUUGCAGCAUUUGAGUUUAAUGUGAUGUCAUGUUGCAGUACACUUCACUGAAACCUCUGGGAGAUAGGGUGCUUGUGAAGCUUGGUGCCGCAGAGGAGAAGACAGUUGGUGGCAUCUUGCUUCCAUCUACCGCCCAGACCAAACCACAAGGAGGUGAGGUUGUUGCUGUUGGAGAGGGAAGGACCAUUGGAGACAAGAAAGUAGCGGUUGAUAUAAAGGUAAAUCAUUGUUUCUGGUGGAUUAGUAACUUUUAAUGUCUAAUACAUAUGCCCCUGUUCUGAAUUGCUGGUGGUAAUUGGUAAAUAUGGAUAUGAUUAGAUGAGGUUCCAUGCUCGUAGCCAUAACUUAAUUUAAUGCAAUGUGCUGACCAGGAUUUGAUGCUCACUAGUAGGCUUCAUAUUGCAUAAACAAGAACACACUGUUAAAUUUAAAUGCUGAAUUGUCAAGAGAAUGGUAAAAUUGGAGUUUUUUCCUUGGAAAAGUCAUGUGAUACCUAUAUAAUCCUACUUUUCUUAUUGUUAGUAGGUACUCUUGUGUAUCUGAUAAUUGUACUAUAGAACUAUUCUUUUCCUCCUUAUAGCUAAUUUGUUACAUGUUGCUUAGAUACAAGCCAUACCUGUGAGAUUUAGAGUAGUCAUUGGAAGUGCAAAGCAAAAGAUAUAGCUAAUUCGUUGCGUGGUGUAUCUGCAACAGCGAGCUAGUAUAACUGAGUUUAGAGUAGUCAUUGGAAGUGCAAAGCAAAAGAUAUAGCUAAUUCGUUGCAUGGUGUAUCUGCAACAGCAAGCUAGUAUAACUGAGUUUGAGUAACCCUGAAGUUCCUUUGCUAGACUGCUAGAUCAGCAAUCAAGUUAGCAACCCUCACAUCACUACAUCAGCAUAUUUAUAGCUAACUACCCCUAGUUUAUUUCUAAAUACAUGGAAUCAGCCACCCCAUUGCCAGGUUCUUAGCUAUAUAGAUCAUGGUUCCUCUCACAAGAAUCUCAAGUGACUAAGUGAGUGUUACUAGCAAGGAAACUCAGGGGUUGCUCUAUCUCAAUUGUGCUAACUCUUAGUUACAUAGCAAUUUCUGUGUGUCUGCAUCACAUUGCUCACAAUCUUUUAUGACGUGACACCGUUUAUUGUGUGUGGAAAUAACCUUCCCAAGCUUUUCGAAAAGGUAUAUGGUUUGCACAUAGGAAUCCUCAAGAUCUUUACAGAACAUACACCUGAAUUGGAUGGAUAGAACUGCACUGUGUUGUAGUUAGACAAGGUUCUCGUAUCCACAUAAUGUCAAGCUAGAACUUAAUACAAUCUUUGGAGCAAGCUACAUUUUGGUUGUCCUACAAAUGGUGCUGAAAAUACCCACCAAAAUUUGGACUAGUUAAACGUGACAAAAGUAAACAUGGGUAAAAUUCUUGGCCAAAUUUAGUUUGGUACUUCGGUUGCUUUGGACUCCAGUCCAUCUCAAUAUGGCGUGUGCAUGUGUUGGUACUACCAAGUUUGGGUUAGUAAAGCUUUUUUCUAUACUUUGGCUUGAACCCUAAUUUUUUGGCCAUGCUUUGGACCAGGCAGCUCUAAAAUUCUGUUUGUGGGUGGUGGGGGUGGGGUGGGGGAUAAGGAUGAGUUUGACUGAAAACAUCUUUUCUCGAAAAGGCCUGACAAUUUUCCAUUUGCAUAUUAAGAACCAUUCAUUAUGCCUUGGUCAAAUCAGAUUAUCUUCUGGGACCGGGGAUGCACAACUCAAAACUAACUCUGCUGAUUGAUGCACAGAAAGAGCUUUGCAUUCUGUUCUAUUAUAAUUGCUAUUAUAAUUGCAACUGACAAAUUUGUAUUAGUUCCUGAUGAAUAGUGUUAAUUUGGGGCUGAGAGAAAUGUCUCUAGUGCAGUCCUGAAGAUGAGCAAAUGGAUAUUUGGUUGCUUAUGAGUUGAACUUCAUGUUGUACAAAUAUGUUCCUUAACGCUUAUGCUCCUUUUUUGCAUUCAAGUUAGGGACUUGUGGCAACAGAAUGAGUUUAGUAUAAACCAAGCUCAGCCUAUGUAGGAAAUUUUGUUUUUACCAAAGUUGCUUCCUGCAGUUUAGCUGUAGCUUUGACUGCUUUAGUGUAGCAAGUAUGUCUAAAUUUACUAGCAGACUAGUUGGAUGAUGUUUAAUGUAAUGCUGUCAGCCUAGUUUUCAUGUGUACUACUGCCUAAAUGCUUAUUUUUUGCCACUCUUUCCUUCUUUGCCCAUGAAAUGCUUGGCCUUAAUGUGUAUUCUUUCGUCUUUCAGACUGGAGCACAAGUAGUAUACUCAAAGUAUGCUGGCACUGAGGUUGAAUUCAAUGACUCAAAGCAUCUUAUUCUCAAGGAAGACGAUGUCAUCGGUAUUCUUGAGACAGAUGAUGCGAAGGAUAUGAAGCCUCUCAAUGACCGUGUUCUCAUCAAGGUAUUCAUAAAUUAAUAGUUUUGUCGUCUCGUUGGUUUAAACUUGUUGCACUCUAGCGCUUUGUUGAACUGAGAUGUUGUCGCUUUACAAUUUUCUCACAGAUGUUUAUAUUUUGGGUUUAAGUUUUGUUACUUGUCUUUGUUACUAUAUUCUGCUCUUGUACAGCAUAUCUAGCCUUUAAUUACAUUUCUCGUGGCAUGCCGUGACAGGUUGCAGAAGCUGAAGAGAAAACUCCUGGGGGCCUUAUCCUCACUGAAACAGCUAAAGAGAAGCCGUCCAUCGGAACGGUGAGUUCUUGCCACUAGUUUGCCUGUAUUUCUCUUCUAUGGUUGUGUAAGUUGCAGCUUGCAGGAUUCGAUACCUCAAGAUACUACAAGUAUAGGAGAUAGCAGUAGCAAAGUAUUCAAGGUCUGGACGUUAAAAGGCGAAUGCAUGAGCUAAAGCUCAGGUCUGGACGUUAAAAGGCGAAUGCAUGAGCUAAAGCUCUGUUUCGUCGCUGCAGGUUGUAGCUGUUGGCCCGGGUCCUCUGGACGAGGAAGGCAAGAGGCAGCCACUGUCAGUGCCGGCGGGCAGCACGGUACUGUACUCCAAGUAUGCAGGGAGCGAGUUCAAGGGCGCUGAUGGCACGGGCUACAUUGUGUUGAGAGCGUCGGAUGUGAUGGCUGUCCUGUCUUAAGCCUUGCGUUUCCAGCUCUUUCUGUAGUUUGCAGCCAAUAGUUGUGAAGUGGUAUGAAACGAUCGCUUUGUGGUGAUCAUCACAAAAUGCUGAUACUGUUCCGGACAAUCGGCUAGAAUUUGGGUCGACACGAGUUACGGGCUACCUGUGAGCUUAUAAACAUCAGCAUCUGAUAGUGAAUUCACUCGGUUGUUUUUACAAAGGAUAUUUUGGGUGUGAUGAAGUCACUCGGUUCUUUGCUGUUUUCUUACUAUUUCAUUGGUUGAAUCUGGACUUCUGUUCCGUACCCAUUUGACGAAUUGAUUAGCAAUAGCUACUUGUUGCCGAACGUUUGGUGAUAGUUGCAAGACUUGUAAUGAGCUCUGAUUUUCGGCAGCACUGGAAGACCUCUGCCCUCUGCUACGACACGUUUGAUCUUUAUAGUGAUCACACGUUUGGGUGGUUACAUUACAUGGAUGACUUACGACUGAUCUCUAGUGAUCACGUCAGGCAUUUUACUCGUCUGAGAAUCGAAUUUCGUAUUGUGGUUGGAACUGCACUCACCGCACUGCUUUUACUCGUAUGGUAGCGACGCUUCGAGAUUUAUCAACAAUAGUGUCAUGCAUUUCAGUGGUAGCAAUGCUUAAGAGAUUUAUCAAGAAUAAAUAGUGUCAUGCACUGUGAACGAACUUUGUACCAUAUAUGAACAUAUAUAACUCGUACAAGUAUGGAAGAGAGUGGUGGACCGUGGAAUCACGUUGCAUUCUAAUUUAUUUUGGAAUCGGUCUUUGUAUCAUGUUUAAUUGGACAAUGAGCUAGCUCAGCAAGGGUUUAUGUCAAAAGUUUCAUGUAUUUGGGUCGAUGAACCCUCUAAUUGUAUUAUUCCUCUUUUAUCAAACGAUGUAACAAUGUUUUCAGAUGAAUAAAGCUUGCAGGAUGGCUUUUUUUUUAAAAAAAGAGGGAUCGGUCGCACUCGAUGGUUUGGCGGGGCCACCUACACUCCUUGUCUCCCCUCCGUUCCGUCCCCAAAAGAAGCGGGGAAUGGCGUCGCUACCGGCCAGCUGUCCCAAGUGCCUUCCAAACGAUUUGAACCGGAUCAUUCGUCGUACGCUCACGAGUCACGACACGAAUUCGAUUGAUCGGCCGGGGAGACCAAGAAAGAACAAGCUAACCAUGAGAGUGUACACGUACACUAGAGUCUAGAUCACACCUCGCCGUAUAAUCUACUAGCAGUCACUCGUCAGCCGAAAAAAGUCUACAUAACCCUCCCAAAAUAUCUAGAGUAAAAUACUUCAUCCCAAAAAUUAUAAAACUGGAUAUUCUACCCGUUAAAUUUUCAAAACCCCUGUCAAAUAACCUCAUCGAGUGGUUUAGAGAGUGGUUUUAAAUCAUAGGAAAACAUAAAAUAAAAAAUAUAAUUUUGUUGGACUAUUGAUGAGUAGAUCUACACAAUGAAUAUAUAAUAUGGUAUAAUUUAGUACAUAGUUUUUGCUGUAACUUUAAAUUUAUAUUUUUCUGUAAUUAAUUCAAAUAAUUCAUAUAUGUAGUUCCUAUGGUUCAAUUGUGGUAAAAUUUAUAUGGUAGACUUAUUAUUAUAUGCUUGAACUAUGAUAAAAAUUUCAUACCCAAUUGUGUCGCACCACGACGGCGAUGUAAGAGGUGGAAUUGUUUCAUAUGCCACCUAGCUUUAGUGAGCUCGUAUGAAAUGCAAGGGAGAAGUUUGACGGUGAGUUCACAUUGAAAUGGCAAUUUGAUUGUGCGAAAAGGAUAGGACAUAAUAUAUGUUGAUGAACUUGUUGUGAUGGACAGCCCCAAUUACCCCAUUUAAACUAGUUUAUCAUUCUCUUGGCCGACCUGGCUUAAGUAGUUAAAUGGAAUAAUCCUAGUAGUCUUCAAUAUGCAUCUCAAAUGGCGGUUGAUAAUAUUGACCAUUCCUGGAAAUUAAUUUUCAAGGGCAGUCGAUAAUGACACCUGCUCAGCUCUUGGGUAGAGGCGGCUGCGAAAACUAUCUAUAGACAUUGAUUUUUUACCAUGCUACGAUUUUGUAGUAGUACUUCCCACCCUAUAGAAAUAAAUGGAAGGGCGAUGGGAGAUUAAUGUUGCAAUUUGGAGAUUAGGAAGCUUCUGGUGGUGUGUUGGACACCCACCCUCAUUCUAUUCAUUUUGUUCCACUUUACAUAAGGACCUUCUUACAAGUUUCUAUUUACACCAACACUCCCCCUCAAGAUGGACCAAAGAUAUCUAUCAUGCCCAUCUUGUUACAACUCAACUCAUUCUCACUAGGUCCUAAACCCUUAGUAAAGCAGUCCGCUAGUUGACUACGUGAUUUUACGUACUCUAGCCUUAGAGCCCCACUAUCAAGUUUUUCCUUAAUGAAGAAUCUGUCAAUCUCAACAUGCUUGGUGCGGUCAAACUGAACCGGAUUAUUUGCAAUAUUGAUUGCAGCAACAUUGUCACAAUGAAGCAUCAUGGUCUCAUUCCUCAACACCCGCAACUCCUUCAACAAGUCUUUUAACCACAACAUCUCGCACAGGCUCAAUGCCAUUGCCCUAUAUUCGGCCUCUGCAGUAGACCGCGCCACAACUGCUUGCUUCUUGCUGCGCCAUGAGACAAGAUUACCUCCCACAAACACGCAAUAACCAGAUGUGGACCUUCUGUCAUCCCUGCUGCUUGCCCAAUCAGCAUCACAAAAUCCCUCCAGAUCCAAGUGCAUGUUUUUCUUGAACCAUAGCCCUCUUCCAGGUGUUCCUUUUAGAUACCUCAAUAUUCUGUGGACCAAUUCCAUAUGUCCUGUUCUAGGAUCAUGCAUAUACCUGCUUACCACACUCACUGCAUAAGAAAUAUCAGGUCUCGUAUGGCACAGGUAUAUCAAUCUUCCAACUAGCCUUUGAUACGUUUCUUUGUUGAAAGAAUCUCUAGACUCAGCACUUAUUUGAUGAUUCCUAUCAAUAGGAGUGCUGCUCGGUCUGCAUCCAAGCAUCCCAGUCUCUGUCAACAGAUCAAGAACAUAUUUCCUCUGAGAAAGAACUAUCCCCUUAGGUGACCUAGCAAUUUCAAUCCCAAGGAAAUACUUAAGCGGUCCAAGAUCCUUCACCUCGAAGGCUUUUCCCAAAUUCUCCUUCAAGUAUCUGAUUUCCUCCACAUCAUCCCCUGUAAUCACAAUAUCAUCCACAUACACCGCCAUAACAGUGAUGAAUGAUCCCCUAUGCUUAUAGAAGACCGUAUGAUCACCAUUGCAUUGAGUGUAGCCCAUACCACAUACUGCCCUCCUAAACCUGUCAAACCAAGCCCUGGGUGAUUGCUUUAAUCCAUAGAGUGAUUUUUUUAGUCUACACACCUUGCCAGCGGUUUGGUUGUUAGCAAACCCUGGUGGAAUCUCCAUAUAGACUUCUUCUUGUAAGUCACCAUGAAGAAAUGCAUUCUUCACAUCCAUCUGAUGUAGAGGCCAACCAAAGUUAACUGCACAGGAGAUUAGGGUCCUAACAGUACCCAUUUUUGCCACAGGGGCAAAGGUCUCAUCAUAGUCAAUGCCAUAUGUUUGACUAUACCCUUUUGCAACUAGCCUUGCCUUGUAUCUGUCCACCUCUCCUUUUGGGUUUUGCUUCACAGUGAAGACCCACUUACACCCCACAGCUCUCUUUCCCUUUGGAAGUGGGACUAACUCCCAUGUCUUGUUCUUCUGAAGAGCAUGCAUCUCUUCCUCCAUUGCUGCCUUCCACUUGGGGUCCUGUUUUGCACACUUCCAGUCCCUUAGAAUAGGCACUGUUUGUAAAGAUGCAAUAAAAGCUCUAUAUGCAGGUGAAAGGUGAGAGUAUGAGAGGAAGUUGGCAAUGUCAUGAUCUGUACUAAGGUGCUCAAAUCCAUAUCGCACAGGAGGUUUUCCAAAAUUAGAUCUAGUUUCUCUACUUUGUGCAAGGGAUAACUCUACAUGCUCAGGCACAUGUCCUAACCGACAAUGAAGCAAGUAGAUCUCCCGCUCCUGUGCUCCAACAACUGUUGCCAAUGCUGAGUUCUGCUGGUUGAUAAUCCACAACCCAUGCCUGAUUCCAGUCCCAAUCACUCUCCCCGUCCCCUUCUCCUGGAAAAUACAAAUGUUUUCAUCAAAUAUAACGAUGCAUUUGAAUUGAUCAACCAGUGAACUAACAGAGAGGAGGUUGACUGGGAAAGAAGGAACAUGCAAGACAGAUGAUAAGUAAAGUGAUGGGGUGCACUCUACAGAUCCUACACCAUGAAUGGAUUGCGAUGUGCCAUCAGCAGUUUGAAUAGUUUCAGAAUAAGAGUGAGGAGUGUAAGUUUUAAAAGAACUAGAUAUGCCUAUGACAUGCUUGGAUGCCCCUGAAUCAAUGAUCCAUUCUAUGCCAUGCCUAUAUGUGGAUGCAAGUGCCUGUGCCUGAGUACCUUUGCCCAAAUGGGCAUAGUUGGCAAAGUUACCAAAGUGACUGGUGGUGGCAAUCAUAGGACCAUCUGAGGUGGUUUUGGAACUUUCAGAUCCUUUCAUCUUUUGCCAUUCUUCCCAUUGCUUGACUUGCUCCCCAGUUAGGGUGACAGAUGGAAAAUCUCCUGCGGUAGCAGUAGUGAUCUGAGAACCACUCUCCCAGUUAGCAACAUUAGCCUGAGUACCACCACGGCCUCUGCCACGUCCUCCACCACGACCACCACGACUUCCUUGGUCACCACGAGCACCACCACGACCUCCACGACUUCCACUUCUACUACCAUAGCUCUUGGGAAGGGGACAAUUAUAGCUCAAGUGUCCCUCCUCUCCACAAUUGUAGCACUUUCUCUCCGCCACUGAGGUAUAGGCCGACUUUACAGGAUUGUUACUACUCAUCAUCCUCAGUCUGCUCUCCUCAAUAACCAUGGCUGACACAGCCUCCUCCAUGGUAGGGAGACUCUCCUGGUGGCAAAACGCAGCCCUUCUGCUCUCAAACUCAGGAUCUAAGUUCUUUAGAAAAUGAGUCACCCUCCUGUCCUCAAUCCACUUCUGAACCUCGUGGGCAUCCUGUGGAUCUCUCAUGUUGAGUGGAGCAUAGUGAUCCAACUCUCCCCACAAGUACUGUAAUUCACUCGCAUAUUGCUCCACUGAUCUUCCUGCUUGUUUCACUGCAUCGGCCUUGUUCUGAAUCUCCAUCAUCACCAUUACAUUUCCCUGCUUAGAAUAUCUGUUACUCAGAGUUUUCCAUAUUUGUGCUGCAGUGUGCAUAGCUUCCACCACUUUACUAACAGAUGGUGACAUGGAUGACAGUAACCAUGCCACUAUGGUAGAGUUUGUUGUGUGACAUGCCCUCCAUUCAGGGCUGAGCUUGUUAGCUGGCUCAACACAAUCCUCCCUCAAAUAGUUCUCUACCCCUUUCCUCCUAGUAUCACCUGCACUCUUCUAGCCCAACUCAAAUAAUUCUUACUUCCUUCUAACUUCACAUCAUUUGGGAUGAGCUCCAAUUUGAGCUCACGCACCUCCCUAGGGCCAAACAGAUUCAUCUAUAUAAGCCCCUGAAUCAUCGACUUUAUCUCCUCUUUCAACUCAGUCUUAGUAACUAGUGAUUCACCUCCGCUGUUACCCUCACCAUCUCCUGGCUUUCCUGUCUCUUUCCCUGCAUCCAUCUUCCUCCCCAAAUCUGUUCCCCCACAGGCAAGUCUAAAUCACUUUAGUACGCACAAGUAACAAGAGCCUCCUCUUCACUUACAGAGCAACAGCAGCAGCAGGUCCCCGCUUGUCAAGCUUCAGGCCUCCACCCCGAACUUCCUCAAACUUCUCCUCUGCUCUUCUUCCCUCUUCUUCUUCGCCAACACACAGCGCACAGGGCACCGCUGGGGCAGUCGGCUGCCCAAGCACGGUGGCAGUUUGCUCGCUGUUCAACCCGGCGCUCGCCUGCGCCGCCCGCGCCCGCACAGCUGCGUGACGCCGCUCGCUCGCAGGAUAACGAGCGCGCUGGCCUCUCGCACCCGCGCCCGCCUGCGCCGGCCCACGCCCGCACAGCUGCCCGACGCAGCUUGCUCGCCUGUUGCCGAGCGCGCUGGCCGCUCGCGCCCGCGCUCGCCCGAGUCCGCCGCGCCCGCGCUCGCCCAAGUCCGCCCGCAGCAGACCACGCGAGCCUGAGCCGCGCACCGAGUCCGCCCGUGCGUCACGCCCACGGCCGCACACCGUCGCCGCAGGUACGGUCCUCGCUGCUAACCCUAGCUUCUCUGGCUCUGAUACCAUGUUGCAAUUUGGGGAUUAGGAAGCUUCUGGUGGUGUGUUGGACACCCACCCUCAUUCUAUUCAUUUUGUUCCACUUUACAUAAGGACCCUCUUACAAGUUUCUAUUUACACCAACAAUUAAUAUCAUCAUCUAACCGAUUAAAUCAAUUUACUUUUAUGCAUUUUACCUUUUAUCCCUUUGCUUACUUCCAACCCUCAAUUGGUGUUCUUCUCCUGUCUCUGCAGCAUUUGAGGUCACCUUAGUCGUCAUUAGUCUGCUUGCCCCAAAUCCCAAUGGGGUCCCUUCGGCAAGCGUUCAAUGGAUUUAUUUGACACUGUUGAAGGGCAGAACUUCCGAGCUUCAAAAAACAAAAUUUCUGGUCCUCCGCAGCAUGCCCAACACACGCUACCUCAAUUGCCCCAUCGUGUUUGACUCAACACCAACAAGCAACACACAAUAUUGUUGCCCUAAAAUCGGAGCUUCGAAACUGGAAAAACUCCACGCAUAAAAACUCUCGUGGAAGUACGGAUAGCUGGUUGAACAUGGUGUUUCAUCCUCCUGCCCAGAUUCCCAGCGAAUGAAAUCCUCAUGGCAAACUAUAACAGGAACAUCAACUUCCAUACAGAACUGAUUUUGCGAGUAUAAGUCGUCUGGAUACCAUACAGCGAUUUUCAACAGCUACUUGACAAAUCGGCACAUGAAGUUCAUCAUGAACUCUCUUCUAAAUGAAAUAUGUGCUUAGGACAGCAUGAAGAACAGACUAAUUGCACUGGGCAGUCUAAGAUGGCACGAGGUAAUUGAUGAAAGCUUCUGCCUUAGGAGCCAAAGCUUUAAUGUCCUCACGUGUUGCAAGUUCAUUGUCCUCAAACUGGAACGCUGGGGCGCAGGUUACACCAACAAACGAAUAAUGCAGUUCAGGGUCUCUUCCGGGAGUCUUGACAAAUACACUUCCAUCUUCAGUAAAGGAUUCAAUGUCGCAGGUCAAGAAGGCCCCAAACCAUAUGUUUGGAGGAACUGUGUACUGUGGUCUCUGGCCCUGCCGCAGGUCAGGACCAACGACAGUCGUCUUGAUUUGUCCAUCAUCAUGCACCUCAAAUACCUGAAUGAAUGGAUGAUCUGAGCAGCGUUUUAAAGAAUCAGAUGUGUCAUUUUUCAGAUAAGUUUACAGACCGUGAGAGGUUCUCCUAGGUAGUAAUGCCAGGUUUCAGCACAAGGGAUACGGUGCAACCUAGCGAUCUCCCCAGCAGGCAGUAGGAAAUAGAUGGCACUACUCACGGCACGGUCAACCUUAUCUACAACGAUUGGAACAUAACAUUAGUGAAUUAGGGAAAAAUAAUGCAGACAAAUCAAGAUCAACCAUGGGUACAAUCAAGGUUUAGUAGAUAUGCUCAGCAAGUCAAGCAUCUUUAUAGUUUAGAAUGAGCAGGAUCCAGCUGCAAGGUUACAUGAAAACUUGUUCAAAUAACAGGUUACUGAUGGUUGAUGCCAAUCCUUUUAACCAUCCAAUUUAGGGGCAUGGAAAUCAUACAUGGUAGCUCCUAUAAGCUAUAAAGAAAGUAAGGAUAUCUUCUAAUUGAAAAGAACAGCAAGCCCAUAAAAACCCAAACCUCAAUUUUCACUGUAACAAUAAGGUAUGACUGAAUUUUGAAGUUAGGAUCACGAUCAAGUAUUAUUCUAGAUAAGACAAGUGUCAGGAACCAUCAUGAAGCUAUUGGCAGCAAUUUGCAUUUCUCAAUCACUUGGUAGAACCUGAAUUACUAAGUGCAGAACUAAAUGCCUAAAGAAUCUGCAGCUAUGCCAUAGCCAAAAAAAGGCUCAUUUGGCUGUCUUUCCAAGGACUAAACCAUUUUGAAGAUCCGAAUGUGCCACUAACAGUUCACGCGGCAUCAGAUCAUGAAUUUAUCUGAACGAAUUCAUGCCACUUCUGAUAUAAACUAAACAAACUCUGAAGCAUGGAGCUCUAGAAACAAAUCCACCAUCAAACAAAUUGCCACCCUAAUAAUCCACAAAACGGCCACCGGCUACAGCUACUUGCAACAAAUAACCAGGUAUCCACCCUUCGUAAAUCUCUAUCUCUGCAGCAAAACUAGAUCUAAACAAAAGGAAACUUGAAACCAAGAUAGCUAGGCAAAAGCUUAAAAAACUGGGGCGAUUUAUCCAAGCUUACAGCGGGGUGGGAGACCGGACGUGGGGAGUGCGAUUGAGGGGUCACGGAAGGUCUCCAGGUAGAACCCGCCAUCGGGGUGGCGCUGCAGAUCCAGAGCGGCGACGAUCUCCGCCGCCGUCUUCUCCUCCGCGGUCGAGAGCGCCAUGGAUUAUCUGGCUGCUGGGUUCUUUUUUGGAGUAGUUUGCUCAGCUCAGGUCAGGUGUCUGAUAACUAUCCAGUUAGCUUCGUUAAGCCGUUGAGCUGCGACGAGACUGCAGAACCAACGGCCAGGAUUUAUCCAUGUGUGAACAUGGCCUGUCUCGUUCUGUAAGGUGUAUAGCCACGCCCACGCAGAGGGAGACCAGAAAAGAACCGCCGCCCCCCCCGACCAGACCAAUCCAUCGCCACCGCGCCGCCCUAGGUCGUCGCCACCUCGCCGGCAACAAUGUCCCCUUCUGCCAUCUUCGUCUUCCUCCUCGUCUCUGCGCUGCAUAUGCUGGAGUGCAUCCUCGAUCUCGUGAAGAGGGUCGGUGCCAACUGCCAAGAAAACUCCGCGUUUUCCUCUCUCUCUCUCUCUCAUCUUGUUCAAGAUUAUUCUUUUGGGGAGAAAUAUUUGAUUUUGGAUGAAUUGAGGUCGUUAAGAAUGAAUCUUCACGGGGGGGAUUCUGCCUCCGUGAUUAUUGGAUCUGCCACCUACUGCAAUUCCGACAUUUUUUCAGCUCGUUCUGUUCCAUUAAUGUUGUCCUGACCUGUUGAUGUUCCAGAGGGGAUCCAUUUCUGAUGAACAGCUCAAACUGCGUGUACAGAUCACGGAACUUCUCAAGGAGGCUAGUGCUUUGUCAACGUAGGCAAUCCGGAUGCUAUUCUCUUAUGAAUUUGGCGAUUCUGAUAUACAGCUGUUGUUGAAACCUUUUUUGUGCUGCAGGCCCUCAACGUUUGCGCAAGCCGCAAAACUGAAGCGGUUGGCUGCUGCUAAAGAGAAGGAGUUGGCAAAGAGUAAGUGUUGAAUUCCUCAGACAGCGCUUGGGUUCUUGUUGUUCUUGUUUGAGCCGAUUCGGGCAGCUGAACUAUUUCUUUUGUUCAUUUUUUAGUGCAAGAGCUGAACAUUAAAGGGAAGCAGUCUUUAUAUGAACAGUAUGGAAAAGCUCUGCUGGCCACUAAGGUGCUUCAUGAUUCGUGCAGUUUAUGCUCUCAACUAUUUACUAUAUACAGUUUGAGGAGUCUCAUCAAAUCUGCAUGCUAGGUUCUAAUCUAUGUUGUGUUCAUUCUGUGGUUUUGGAGUACUCCAGUAACUACUGUUCCUAAGCACCUUCUCCAGCCCUUCGGUAAGUUAAUGCCCUUCACUUCACCUAGCUGGCAACUUGUUCUGCAGCCUUGUUAAUUUCCUGGUGUUCACACAUUUCAUUGUAUUAGUUUGUUUAUCAAACUGGGAAAAUUGUUUUUUUGGUAACGUUCACAAGAUAAACCCAAAAGGUAACUAUAUGCCUCCAGUGGAAGAAGGAUCCGCUAAAGAAACCAUGUUCCCCUUUUUUGUAGCUUCCAGUAUGAAAAUGAGCUAGAUCAGGAGUGAAUAUUGUCAUAUACUUAUAUUGUACUCCUUUUGGAUAACAAAUGCUGACGUUUCAGACAAUAAAAAAAAUGAGUUAGCAACCUACAUUUCUUGUCUGGAGUAGUUAACCAAAGGUUCCCAUCCUGAAAUGAUAAGCAUAUUUUAUAUAGGGAGAGUCCACUUUUUAUAAAUUUUGACCAAGAGUUAUUCAAGUUGUACACAAGCUUAUGAUUUAAAACUUUCAUCCAGAGAUAUGUGGUCAAAGUGCGUUUGAUAUUGGUUCUUUAGCAAACGAUAACAUUUUGUGAGUGAAAUUAAGGGUCAAAGUCUAUUUUAUUUGACUUUUCUCUGAUCAGAAUAUGCUUAUCAUUCUUGGACCGAGGAGUACUGCUGUAGAUUUGACCUGAUAUUAAAUAUAUCCCAUUUUUGUUUAUUGAAACUAAUUAUUAUACUAUACAAUCAUAAGUCAUCCGGAAGUAAUAGUUUAGAGGGAAUUUUCAGGAUGGAUGUUUUCCUGGAGAGGUGUAGAUGCUUCUACAGGCCGUGUUGUGGUGAGUACCGCUGAACCUCCAUGUGUUUAAAUGUUCUUGGCUUUAUCCUUGUUAAAAAUAGCGCCAUGAUUGAAACUGGGAGUCACUACUCACUGAACAAGAUAAACAGUUAAGGUUGCCAAAUUAGACAUGGUGAUAUCUAAUUUCUAAGUUCUAAUAAGUUCCAAAUGGUGCUUUUUUUUCUCAAACAUGAUGGAGAAUUGGGUGUCAAUGGGCAUUAAGAAGAAAAAUAGUUAUGUUCCGGUUUCAGGGUCUGUUUAGAUGUGCUCCACCAACUCCAAUAUGAUGCAGCUCCACAAAAAAACUUGGAGUUUCUGAAGUAGUAUCUCUUUAGAUGCUCCACAAAACAACUGCUCAAUUUCUCCUUUUUUGUAGAAGAGAGUUUGUGAAGCUGUAUUUGUUUAACUAGCGAAGUUGGAAACAGAGGAAGAUAGAGCAGAACAGUCCCAAACUAGUUACAUUGCACCGUGAACAAAUUUGAUUACUAACAAAUCUCCGGUCUAAUAAGCCCUAGUAGCCACUACAUUCAUUGUGAGAAUCAUGUGAUCGAGUCUUUCCGGUGAAUCUUUUUGUUACAUGAUAUUUUCUGAAACAAUUUUUGUUACAUGAUAUAUCCUCUGACAAGCCAAGCAUAUUUUUUGCAACAGUAAGUCUGGGAUUUUUUUUCAGAAAAAAUGUAGUUACAUUGCCGCGUAAUAUCUCAUUGUGCUGAUGCAGGUUGGAAUUCUCCCAUGGCUAUUUUUGACCUCUCAUGUCAGCAAGCUACUGAGCGAGAAACUUGCGCCCAUAUUUCUGCAUCCUUAGCUCCUCCUAACGACUUACUUUUGCCUCUGUUUUUGUUCUGCAGUUUUGUAUGAUCUCUCAAUCCAUCUACAUUUAUGUAGUUUCCAAAGGGAUUGGGAUUUUUGUAAUUCUAUAAAAGUAACGAGUAGAAUUUCCACUGUGUAGCCGUUCCUCAUACAUUUUAUUACCAUCAGAAAUGUUCCAAGAUAGCAACUCCUUAAAGUGAUUAAUCAGAGGUAGAAAUUCAGCUACAUAAGACUGAAGUCGCCACUCGAGAUAGCAACAAUAUUUUAAGAAAACAAAUAAUUUAGUGAUAAAUAGGGUGGAUCUAGAGCCCGGACUAGGUUGCAGCUUGGGUCCAAAAACCAAGUAGCACCAAAUAGUACUAUUAGUUUUUCAGCCUGGUACAUGUAAAGACCCCAGGAGAAAUGAUAAUACUAUGACUCAGAUGUUCGGACAGAGUGAUUACGUUGAACACUUGUAGCAUGUGAUUAGCCAGAAACCCACCAACUCACUCGCUGCACUCCUCCCCUCCCGUCGCCGACACUCGCCUCCAUGGUGGAUAAGCAAGUACAAUUUUUACCAAAGUCUCUAAUCCUAUUACAAUACAGAAGGAUAUAAAGAGGUUGGACUGUUGGAGGGUGACAAAAUGGAUGGAAAAAUAAAAGCAAUAAACUUACUAACAGGUGGGCCAUGUGUGUUGUGAGGAAGUAUUUUGGUGAAUAAUCCUGGAAAUGAUAUUAGGAUACCACAAAUACUGUACAAGUAUACAACUCUGCUGGAGAUGUUUUGUUGGUGAGCUGGCUCUGAUGCUCUUGACAUCCUCACACGCGCGCAUGCGCCUUCCCGCCAUCCUCGGGUGCCUGCCUAUUCCGGGCAACCUCGAAGAAACUGAGCCCCGAGAAAGCAAAACCACCCGCGCAACCAUCCUCCCAACCUUAGGGUCGCGCGCCCGACACGGCGGCCUCCCCUUUCCGGGCCCCCCUCACGCCAUGGCCCCGUCUCGCCACCGCCUCCUCCUCCUCGCCGUCGCCGCCACCAUUGCCGCAGCGCUCCUAGCUGCCGCGGAGAACAAAAUGACCGACGCGGAGGCGCUGAUGCAGCUCAAAACGUCCUUCACCAACUCCUCGUCGCUCUCGUCGUGGCUCAUCACCGACAAGGAAGGCAGCAAGUCCCCCUGCGCGCCGGGCUCCCACCACUGGCAUGGCGUGGUGUGCUCCGGCGGAGCCGUCACCGGCCUCCGCCUCAACGGCCUCAAGCUCGGCGGCACCAUCGAGGUCAACUCGCUCUCCAGCUUCCCGCGCCUCAGGUCCAUCUCCUUCGCCAGGAACAACUUCUCCGGCCCACUCCCCGCCUUCCACCAGGUCAAGGCGCUCAAGUCCAUGUUCCUCUCCGACAACCAGUUCUCCGGCAGCAUCCCCGACGACUUCUUCGCCAGCCUCAGCCACCUCAAGAAGCUCUGGCUCAACGGCAACCAGCUCUCCGGCUCCAUCCCAGCUUCCAUCUCACAGGCCACGUCCCUCCUCGAGCUCCACCUCGAUCGCAACGCCUUCACCGGGGAGCUCCCCGCCGUGCCGCCGCCGGCGCUCAAGUCGCUCAACGUAUCUGACAAUGACCUCGAGGGCGUCGUCCCGGAGGCGUUCCGGAAGUUCAACGCCAGCAGGUUCGACGGCAACGAGUACCUCUGCUUCGUGCCGACCCGCGUGAAGCCGUGCAAGCGCGAGGAGCAGGUCGCGACCACCAGCUCGUCCAGCCGGGCUGCCAUGGUGCUCGCCGCGCUGCUUCUCUCGGCCGUCGUCAUGGUCGUCGCCCUGCGCUUGUGCUGCUGCAGCCGUGCCCGCAAGCUCGACAUGGACGGCCUCCAAGUCGAGGAGAAGAAGCCGCCCGCCGUCAAGCAGGCGCAGGCGCAGUCGGCGUCGUCGGCACCGCAGAAGCGGAGCUCCUCGUGGCUCGGGAAGAGGGCAGGGUCGUCGCUUGGCGGGUUUGGACACCGGCGUGCCGCCUCUGCCGCCAAGGUGGACGAUCUGAGCAGCAGGUCCGGCGGGGAUCUGGUGAUGGUGAACGAAAGCAAGGGCGUGUUCGGGCUCACCGACCUGAUGAAGGCGGCCGCCGAGGUGAUCGGGAGCGGCGGCGGCGGGCUCGGGUCGGCGUACAAGGCGGUGAUGGCCAACGGCGUGGCCGUGGUGGUGAAGCGCUCCCGCGACAUGAACCGCACGACCAAGGACGCGUUCGAAGCCGAGAUGAAGCGGCUGGGCGCGAUGCGCCACGCCAACCUGCUGCCGCCGCUGGCGUACCACUACCGCAAGGACGAGAAGCUGCUGGUGUACGAGUACAUCCCCAAGGGCAGCCUGCUGUACGUCCUCCACGGCGACCGGGGCAUGGACUACGCGGCGCUGGACUGGCCGACGAGGCUCAGGGUGGCCGUCGGCGUCGCGCGCGGCACGGCGUUCCUCCACACGGCGCUCGCCGGCCACGAGGCGCCCCACGGCAACCUCAAGUCGUCCAACGUCCUCCUCGCGCCGGACUUCGAGCCGCUCCUCGUCGACUUCGGCUUCUCGGGCCUCAUCAGCCACAUGCAGUCCCCGAGCUCCCUGUUCGCGUACCGCGCCCCCGAGUGCGUCGCCGGCCACCCCGUGAGCGCAAUGGCCGACGUCUACUGCCUCGGCGUCGUCCUCCUCGAGCUCCUCACCGGCAAGUUCCCGUCGCAGUACCUCCAGAACGCCAAGGGCGGCACGGACCUCGUCAUGUGGGCGACGUCGGCGAUGGCCGACGGCUACGAGCGGGACCUGUUCGACCCGGCACUCAUGGCGGCGUGGAAGUUCGCGCUGCCGGACAUGACGCGCCUCAUGCAGGUGGCGGUGGACUGCGUCCAGACGGACCUGGAGAAGCGGCCGGAGAUGAAGGAGGCCUUGGCGAGGGUGGAGGAGGUGGCGGCGACGGCUUUAGCCAGGGUGAGGGAGAGGCCGCCGCAAGCUGAGAGCGGCGGCGAGGGCCAGGGGAGUGCGCCGCCGUCGGCAGACUCGGCUAGCAGAAGCUCGCACACCUCGUACGUGCGAGAAGGGUCGAUGCAGCGGAUCACAAGCGUCGGCGAGCGGUCCUUGCGGCGAGGAAGCAACGACCCCUCGUACGGGUACGGCAUCUCGUGAGACGACGACAUGCAGGGCAUGCAGCUAGUGGGCCAGUCAGAUUUUGCGAGUCAACCAUUUUGCUCCCUUUUGGUGCAGUUUGUAUCUAUGUCCUGCUCAAUGUAGCUUGAACAAUGUCCAACUAGCAACCAGAAGUGAAUUGUACAGAAGAAUUUCAGCUUUUUCUGUCAUGCAGGUAGAGUUUGUUUCCAUAACACGAGUUUAAAUGGUGCUGAGUAAAUCCUAAAACCAAGUGCAUCAACAAAUGCAAAAGUUUAUAGUCAAAACAUUAAUACAUUAUCGAUCUAUUCUGACUCAACAACAACAAACAAAAAUUACAAUUUGUGAAUUGACAAUAAAAACCUUGAGUUCGAACAAUAAAUAAACCUUGUGUCAUUAUGCAUAUCAACAAUAAAUAAACAUAAUAAGAUGGGAAGAAAGUUGGACCAAAUCUGUACUUGUCAAAUCUUGAGGAUAAAACUUUGCAAGGUUUUUCCUUGUCAUAAGAAGCAAAUGAAUUCACCGGAUUCAAAGCAGCCAUGCAAACAAGUAGCUCUGUAUUAACUUGAAUACUCGAUCAAACCUGCCACAAUGUCAUAAGGAUAAAAUGAAUUAUUAUGAAAGGAAGUAAAGAAAAAAAAAAGAUGAAAAGUAAUAAAAAUAUUAAGCAAGGUUUAUCGAACCUGCUAUUGAGCUCUUAGAGUUGCAUAUCAACGACACUUAGAAAUAUUAGUAUUUUUGUGUAUAUGUUUGGUCAAACUUAAAAGGGCUUGACUCCCACAUAGGGGGUAUUACAAAUCAAUCUCUUGGUGGAAGCUUGGAAACACGUUCCAAAAUGUGCAUUUUUGGUCACUCGGAAAAAUUAAAACAAUUGACACCUAUAGUGCAAACUCGUCUUAUACAAAUUCAAACGAAAAUGACAAUUUAUUGUGCAUGUGCAAUAUUAGACAUACCUAUUUUCCCAUCAUUGUGUCCUCGACAAUCUGAGUAUUAACUGAGCUGUCAGCCUGCCACACUUGAAGUACAUCAUCUGAAAACAAAACCUAGACUUCAUGAUGCGACAACGAACCAUCUUGCCAUGCUCGAGAAUCACAAGGCCACCGAAUCUGAGCACAUUAGUGAAGCAGGAGUCAUUUUCCUUCUCACCGACCCUCACCAUUUGUUUGUAGAAGCUCCCAGCUUCCAUGGCAAGGCCACACUGCAGCAAUCACCAAUCAUACUGCCGCACCAGUGCGCUCCACAUGAAAGCAUUCGAGCGCAGCCCAAGGCACACUGCGUAGGUGCGCACCUGCCGAACAAUAUCCAAAGCUUGUUCAUCUCUGUAAUGAAUGAUAAAAACAAGAUAUGUAUCGGGAAGGUCAUAAAUUUCAAAGAAGAGAUGCUACAACAGUAGUUUUACCGGUAUGAGCUGGUUACUCAGCGGUGCUCAUUGCUCAGUAAAUCUUGAAGAACAUGAACCACGUCGUUUGUUCCACUACAGAACCAACCAUAACCAAUGCUAAAAUAGCAGCAAUGCCAUAGUUCCUUCUUUAUUCCCCCCACCCCCUAUCAGAAAAUUUUCAUAUAGAUGCCGGGUGCUGCUUGAGGAAAUACCAAGUUGAAGCAAAUAAUAACAGGCCGCGACUAAUCCAAUACUACUUUCAUGUUUUGUUCCUGUUCCCUAACAAACUUUCCUCUUUGUGCUCUUCUUUUAGAUUUUCUUGCUGUAACAAUACCCUUCUUUUUCAUUCUCUCCAGUUUUUCUUUCCUUCCUUUUAUAUCAGCCUUGAUAACCUCGUCCCUACAUUCUUCUGACAAAAGAGCUAACCUGGAAAACUUUUUUGGCCAUACUUCCCCAAGUUUCUCAUGUAUAUCUUUAAAUGCCGAUACAAGACCAGCUCUCAUGAAAUAUCCUUCAAUCAGCUUCAUUGAGUUUAAUUUAGGAAGAGCUGGAGCAUCUUUUAACUCAAGGUCCAUGCAGAAAGGAGAAUCUUUCAGCCACAUCUUAAGAGAGUAGGCCUUUACCACAAAGCGACCUGACCGAGCUCUACAUGGUAAGAACGGGGAGCCCAUUUCCAAAAGGUAGGCUCUGAUUGUUUUACGCAGGGAUACCAUGUUAUAUUCCCCCUCCCCUGUGACCAGUACAACAGAUUUGGGAGAUUCUGGUGAACCCUGGAGUGAAGCAUCCUGAAUUAAAACCAGAGUAGGUCAGGUGUCAUUUAAAUAAAAGAUGAAACUCAAGUCCAUUUAAACAAAAAAAGAAUGGCUACUGCAGGACUAAGAAGAACUCAAUAAGUUCAUAAACCUGUUGCAAACAUUCAAAGAUGUUUUCUUCAAAAUUCUUUAAAAGAUUUUUAGGUGUUAUUAACUGAUGUCUCCAAUUAUAUUUGUGUUCAAAGCUGAUAGACUAGAAAACCUAUAAUGGCACAUAAAAUGAAAAGGUAUACCAAAAUAGAAAACUGUCAAACAAAUGAAAAGGCUCUACUGCCCACUAUAUCUCCUAGAUGUAUGCUGCAGUAAUUACCGACUUAUUACCUUCAGCAGUUUGCAAUAUUACAUCAUUGCAAGGUGAAAAUCACCAGUACUAGUGUAAUUGGAACUAACAAAGAACUUAAAUAGCAUAUGUCCAUCCUCAUUUUAAGCUUAACUUCAUUCACGUUAUUCUUAUUACUAUGUAACUGAUGUGAAAACAUCGAAACAAAAGCUGAAAAUUCAUGUAGUGGGAUUCUCAGUGUUCCAGUUACUUUACUGUCAAUAGUCAUGACAAAAUAUCAGAGAACAAGACAAUAAACCUAAAACCAUAGUCAAAAAGUUCCCAGGUUGAAUGAGCUCGAGGAACAUGGUACACUACUUGCGAGCGGUUUUUACAUGGCUGGGUCGAAAAGAAACCGUGUACCCGGGUCGAAAGUCAAUGACUUCAACCCCAUUUCCUGUGAUUAAGCCUAAAACUGAUGGUAAACAAUUAUUUGUUGAAGAGCAAAGCAAAGAUGUUUCUUUACCACUCCUAUGUAUAUGAAUGCAACAUCAUAUGAAAGGUAUUAUUUAAGCACAUACUUGCAUGUGAUCAAGCCACAAUGUAAGACCAACAAGUGCAGCCCCAGCAGACAGCUUCCGGAAGUCAGCGCCCCAGUCCUUUUGUGCCACACUACGCCAUUCACAAAAUAAAAUGUUAAAUGGUAGAUUAAUUCCAUAUUGACACUUUGCAGAUAUCAUAAUCAGAAGUAGAACAUACUAAAACAAGAAAAAAAAUGCCAAGAUGAGAUGGUGUGUCAUAAUCAUCUUCAGAUAUGAAUAGAAAAAAUAGAUAAAUAUUGUUACUCAAAUACCUUAACUCUUAUCACACACAAAAUAGAUCUUUGACUUAACCUGAAGCCUAGGACCAUAUGGCCUUGUCAUAGGCAACUGAAUGAGAACUAAGAAACAUAGGUAUUUGUUGACUGGCUCUCUUUCUAUCAGAUUAAAGUUCUAAAACAUCACCAGAAUGUAGCAUGACAUGUAGAUUUCUUGGAAAGAUAUUUAUAGUGCUAUUGACGGAGCCAUCGUUAGCAGUGAUUAGUUAGCACUUUGUUUUUACAAAAAAUAUUUUGAUUGUUUGAGCCAAAGUUACUAUGUGUAACUUGAAAAGGCAAUGCCUAACCGGUGAUGCAAUUUUAUAUAUGCACAUGAAAUACAUAUAUUUCAACCCCAAGAAAUUGUAUGCUACUACAAAUGAAAUUUUGCGGUACAGAGAUUGCCAUGGAUACCGAAAGACAUUAUCGCGGUAUAUGCUUCUCUCUACUGCCAAUUGGAAAAUCCGUGAAGCUGUUGCUCGGCAUUCAAAUGCCCACAACAAAUCUUCUACUGCAUUUACAAAGUUCAAAGCAGCAGAAUCUUCUAAUGCUUCAAGCUCUUCCAGAUAAUUGGCGAUCUCACUUAACAGUGAUGGUGUCCUUUCAGUCAGGAGCCUGCAAAAGAUUCAAGAACCAAAGACCAAAACAUGAACAAAGAAAAAAAAUGUCAUGUGAAUGUCCAUCUCUUUAACAUAAUCAAGUAAAGUAUUAACCUAAUGGGGAGGUCAAAUCCACAAUCCUGUAGAGACUUUAGAAGAAGAAUAGCAUCAGCAGUUUGCUCACACAAACUAGCUGCCCUAAUGAAACAUGUCCAAACUUGAUGAUCUGGUUCUACACCAUCUCUUUUCAUUUCCAGCAGUUUUUUUAUUCCAAGAUCGUAGUCACCGUUUUUCAGGUAGGCAUCAAAGACAGUACUGUAUGGUAACGUGCUGACUUCCAAACUGGAAGAUUUCAAACUGUUCAGUACAUUCUCAGCUUCGUGAGGUUGCCCAGCAGUCCCGUAAGAAGUCAUGAGGAUAUGCAUAGUGGCAAUUGUUGGCUCUAUGCCAUCCUCUUUCAUUACUGCCAGCAAGUUCUCAGCUUUGGAGUGGUUGCCAGCAUUCCUGUAAAUUUUCAUCAUCAUAUGAUAGAUAGAUCUAUUCAAUUGAUAACUCUUAGAUCGCAUUUCCUCAAAAAGCUGGUCAGCUUGCUCCCUCAGCUCUGCUUUUGCAGAUGCAGCAAGCAAGCUUUUGUAGGACUGCAACUUUGGUGUCAGGCCUCGUUUGCCCAUUUCAUUCAAUAGUGUAAAACCUUCUUCUGGCCUCAAGCUUCUACAGUACAUGACUAUCAAUGUAUUGUAUGUAUCUUCAUCAGGCUCUAAGCCAGCUUCGAGAAUACUUUGAUAUACUUGUGUUGUCCUAUCAAAGUUCCCAGCAGCGGUGUACAUAUUAAGAAGAGAAUUAAAUAUAGAAAGAUCUGGCUUGAACCCUGCUCCCUCCAUCUCUGCAAUCAUCAACUCAACAUCCCUGAACCGGUUGUGAUGGCAGAGCAAGGAAGUCAUACUUCUGUAGAGGUGCAUAUUUGGCAGGUAUCCUGCAGCCUUCAUUCCAUUAUAGAUUUUCAUUACCUCGAAUACAUCCCCAGCUUUUGCAAAAGCAUCAAGCAUAAGGAGCACUGUACUUUUGCUGAUCUUGAAGUCCAUAUCUUGAAGCUCUCCUACAACUACAUACAACUCAUCCAAUCUGCCAUCAACAAUCAAUGCCCUCAUCAUUCCAUUAACUGAAUCAACAGUUGGCAGAGGACCUGUUUUAAUCAUAUUAUCAAAGACUGCCCUUGCUUUCUCAUAAAGUCCACUCUCUGCAUAUGCAUGUAUCAAAGCAUUCCAAAUCCUUCUAUCGAUACCUGAUGCUUGCCUCAGCCCUUUCACCAAGAUUUCUGCUUGCUGCCAGAGUUUUAUAUUCCCAUAUGCUUCAAUUAUAAUUACCCUACACGAGAGAAUGUUUAAUGGAAUACCAGAUUGCAAAGCAUCAUCCAUCAACCCAUGUGCUGUUUCUGGAAAUCCCAGUUUACAGUAGGUGGAAAUUAUACUCUCGUAAAUAUUUUUAGAAGCUUCUAUGCCAAUAAACUGCAUGUCGCAGAACACUUGACAAGCUUCAGAAAAUAACUCAGCUUCCACGAGGCAUGUAAUCAAGUGCUCAUACAGGUUACAGUUUUGACCAGGGUAUUUUAACAUUAACCUUUGACUGUACUGUUCAUAGGCAGAAAUGCUCGUCUGUUUUCUGCAUAAAAGUAUGAUGGAACAUUCUGAUAUCAAAUCCUGGGAACUGGAAACAUGGUCACGGAUGCAUUCAAGCAAAGAGAGACCUUCCUCAUGCUUUUCUGUCAUUACAUAUGCAUUCAUAAUGGACCAUAAGCUCUUAGCAUCAGGCUUGUAUCCCUGGAGACAUGCCUUUUUUAAUAGUUUACCACCCUGGGAAACACACCUCGCCUUGAUAAGUAUUGUUGAUAUUACUCCCAGACUCAUUUGACAAAGUAAUUCCAUGUCUUGGAUAAUUUCUUCAAUCUCCUCACACUUAUCUUCCUUUGCAAGUGCAACAAGCAAGACCUGGUACAUGUCAUCAUCUGGCCUAUAAUUAUCAUUCAUCAUUGUUCGAUACAGACGCAACAUUUUUUCCGUCUCACCUGACCUUGCAAAAACAUCCAGCAUAACCAAGUAUGCUAAACGAUCAGGUUUGACACCUGAUGCAAUCAUGCAAUCAAAUGUCUUCUCCGCGUCAGCCCGCCUCCCACCUUUGGCAUAUGCACAAAUCAGAGCACUAAAAGCUACUAAAGUUGGCUUCAAUCCCGCAUCUGCCAUGUCCUCCAGUACCUUCCCUGCCUCAGCAAUCUUAUCCAUCUUCCCCAAAGAAUCAAUCAUGACCGUAUACGUCACAGCAUCUGGAGUACAGCCCACAGCCCUCAUCUCAUCAUACAGACCCACUGCUAAGUCAAGCCUGCCCAUUUUCCCAUACAUAUGAAUCAUGGUGUUGUAUGUUAUUUCAUUCUUCUUGAACCCAGCCUUAACCAAUUCCUCACAUGUGUGCUCCACCUUGUCAACAUUCCCUUCCUUUGCAAAAGCAUAGAGAAGAGAAUUGUAAGUGACCGCGUCAGGCAUAAAACCCUUCUCCACCAGCUCCCCAAACAGCCGCUCAGCCUCUUCAGCCUUCCCACACCGGCCAUGCACCGACACCAUUGCAUUGUAUGUCCACAAAUCUGGCCGGCACUCUGAAGCUAUCAUCUCCUCAAACACCGUCACAGCAUCUUCCAGAUUAGAACUCUGUGAGCAAGCACUGAUGAGCGUGUUAUAAGUGAUAACAUCUGGCCUUAGCCCAGAUUGUCGGACUUCAAAUAGGAGGUCAAGGGCGACGCCAGCAGCCAAACACCCAGACUUAGACCUGGCAUUGAUUAGAGUAUUGAAGCUGACGAGGUCAGGAUCGAUCCCCCGGUCGUGCAUUGUGUCAAGCAGCUGCCGUGCGUCAUCGAAUCGGCCAGAGCGUGCAUAAACGCCCAUCAUGGCAUUGAACACCUGAACAGUGGCGCCCUCUCCAGCGAAGCGGAGGAAGACCUCCUCCGCGAUCGAAUCCUGGCGCGCGCGGCCGAGGACGCCAAGGACGACGGCGACGGCGCGUGAAGCCGGGGCGGUGCUCCGGGCGAGCCACUCGAAGGCAUCCAGCGCGCGCCGCCAGGAGCUCUCCCCGACGGCGCGCACGACGAAGGCGACCUCGUCCGGCGUUGCCCGAGCGCCGUCGAGCACGUCGUCGACGGGCGCCCCGGGAGGCAGCGCGAGGACGGCGUCCGCGAGCCCGGCCACGCGCGCGCGCCAGUCCUGCGCCCGCCGCAGCGCGAGCUUGCUCAGCUUCUUCACCCUCCCGCGAUGAGCACGCGCGUCCAGUGGCUCCACGAGUGAAGGUGCGGAGGCGGAGGCGGAGGUCGCCGCGGGGUCCUCCACUUCCUGGGGUGGUGGUCUGGCGGGGACCGGAGGUGCCGCGGUGACGGUGGCGGGGAAGCGCGGCGCGGGGAGGUGCGGGAAGCGGAGGUGAGGCCAUCGAACGGAAGGGUCGGCGAGAGGGUAGUCGAAGUCUUCGGAAGCAGAUGACGCUGCCGUAGCGGUGGCGGUGCCCGCUCGGCGGAGAUGGCACGUGAAGGAGGAAGAAGAGGAGAGGAAGGGUAAUGGUGAGGAGGAGACUGCCAUCGGAGACAUGAGCUUUGGGUCCUCGGGAUGAUGGGAGAUGGAAGAGCACUAGGCGCGCAUGGAGACGAUAAGGAAGAUAUUUUUCAAGCAGAUUUUUCUGACUUCGUGUCUCCAUAUAUGAACGGUAUGAAUUUGAAUAUUUGUGCAAUGAUACUUUGGAAGUGUUUAGUUACCCAUAGAAUCCGAAAUACAAAAUACCAGCUACUUUAUAGUGAUAAAAUACAAAAAUAUUAAAAUUUUUAGGAUCAUGUUUAGUUCGAUCCAGAAUGUAGAAUUUAUUGUUCUCAUGAAGCCUGUUGAGGCUCAUUUUUGUUUUUGUUUUUUUGUCUCUUGAGGUCAAAAUUCAAAAUAAAGAAUAACUACCUUUUUGUUAAAAAUUUUGCAUAGUGUUUAGUUCCAUUUUAUAAAAUGAUGGACCAAAAUCCAAAAUUUUUUGGAAAAAAAUGAGAACUAAACACCCCCUUUCAAGAAUCUCACACAACUACGAUCGCAAAAAAAAAAAUCUCACACAACUAAAAAGAAUAAAGAAAAAAAAUACUAUUUUGGUACGAUAAAAACUUAGUCUCACCUUCUUGUUCUCCUCAUGUGAUCGUCUUCUCGUGAAAAAUUUACCACCCGGCCACGCUCCCGAAAAAAUUUAUCGCUAGUCGUGAUCAAAUCCUAUCCUAAAAUCAUGGACCGUGAAGAACUCGUGUUUGUGAAUUUUCACCUUCCUAAAUCUCUUGGCAGGAGGUCGAAGAAAUUUAGGAAGAAAUUUAGGAAGGUAAAGAUUCGCAGGCACGAGAUUUUUACAUGCCGUGAUUCUAGAAUAGGAUUUGACCACGGCCGACAUAACGUAAGGUUUUCAUCGUGACUGAGGAGACGAUCGCAUGAGGGCAAGAAGGUGAGGCAAAGUUUAUUCUUUUUAGUUCGUCUUGAAGGUCUUCCACAGGACUUGCACGCAGCUCCGCUCCUAGUUGCUCCAUUAUAUAAUACCCUUAAUUAGUUAAUAAAUGAUGAUAUUUAUUUGUCUCCUCUUCUUUAUGCUAAUCCUUAAUAAUAUUUAUAUAAUUUAUGACUAAUAUUUAUGUUAUCUUCUCUCUCUUGUUCUUGUCAUUAUUGUUGUGGUUUUUUUACCUACAUAACAUUCUAGUUGGUCCACACAACGCAAUUUGCUAGUUAAUGUUAAUUAGUGUUUUUUUUGUUAUUUCUCCCUCCCUAUUAAUCUCUAAUGUCAUCUAUAUACUUUAAGAAUUAAGAAUACCUUUCUUUAUCUUCACUCUUUUUUCCUGUUAUUACAGUGAUUUUUUUCUAGUAAAUUAGAUUAGUGGGAUGUAAAUCGGAGUUUUAGAGUUAAUUAAUUUUAUCCCUUUCUCUAUAAUUUUUAGUAUCAUUUUAGACUUUUAACUUCUUUAUCACAAAACAAACAUCGAUUUGGUUAUUAUCUAUACUCUUGGCAAGUCAAUAUAUAUAUAUGUAUUUCAUCAUGUGUGGUUAGCGUUGGUAUUGCCAAAAGGUUCCCUCCUCCCCUAUGGUUAAAUCCUGGCUCCGCUCCUGCACGAUGGGUCACGCGGGUAGUACGUUGGGACUACGGUCAAAACAAAAUUUCAAUGAUUGCUAGCUUAUCUUCACAUCUUAUGCAUCGUGCAGUCCUAAAUAUGUGCACCACACUGUCAGCAAUCAGCUCACAAUCCUAAUAUAUAGGCCCAACUACACAACCAGACACAUCGGCAAACAAUAGGCAUGCCUCUAGGGCCUUUAAACGAAUGGUCCGAUGAGCUAUUUAGGCUAGUUUUGUAGCACGAUAAAAAGGAUAGUGAUAGUAGUAAUAGUUAUAUGUACUUGGUUCUUAGCGACAACUUCAAUACUACAACCAAGCUUCAACUCCACUGACAAUAAUGUUUGUGCUUCGACUAAUGUUGCCAUAUCAGAGGCAAUAACCUUUUUGUGGUGUCAAUACUAGAAUAGUGGAAUUAAAAGUUCACAGUCAAUCUAACAUGCUAACUUGCUAAUCAAAUAAGCACUCAUGAUUAGUCUGACUGUUGCUGACAUCAUAUCAUGAUAUCUAGCAAAGUUCAGCUAGGCGCUAGGCGGAAUCUAGGCGCUGACCCUCCGCCUAGCGCCUAGUCGGGAGUAAUCGCACCUAGGUGUUUCUAGGCGUUUUGCUAGGCGGUGAUUAAUACAUGUAUAAAUACUUAAAAGAAAAGAAAAACAAUAGAUAAGUAGUAGUAAUGGAAGGGAGAAAGAAUAUAAGGCCCAUUUAACAGCCCACUUUAGUUCCCGCAAGCUGCGACCGCGUGACUCCCUGUCUCCCGCAUCGCGUCGUCCCCGUGACUCGCGACGCGAGCGACUCUGCCCCCCCCCCCCCCCCCCGCCGCCGCCGCCGCCCUCUCCCGCUGCUCCCUCUCUCUGCGCACGCCGUCGCCCGCGCUGCUCCUCCCCGCCGGCGACUGUCUCCUCCUCGCGCCCGCCGCCGUCUGCGCACGUCCGAAGCUCCGCAGGAUGCUGUCCACCCCCACCGGCGCCGCCGCGGCCACCUAGGUUCCGCCUACCCCCAUAGGCGAGGCGGGGAGCCUCUGAUUCGCGACUAGUCAAGCGCCUAGCAUAACUAUGAUAUCUAGGAUGUAUAUGUAUAUGAUUUCUCGCAAGCAUUAAAGUUGAAUUAUUCUUGUAGAGCACUAGAGCUAUCAUGAGCAAUAGCGUAAGAUCUAGCAUGUAUAUGUAUAUGAUUUCUCGCAAGCAUUGAAGUUGAAUAGCUGCUAGAGCUACCAUAAGCAAUAGCGUAAGAAUAUACAAUUUGAUUAGCCUUAUCCAUAAUAACCUAAACUAGCGUUGGUGUUUCUUUAUUGUGCACGUACAACAAACCGCAUUUGAUUGUGUUUGAUUUUGUUACACUUUACAUGUAGUCACUUCUAUGUCCUAGUUAAGUUCUCAUGUUUCUAGGGUUUUUUUUUUGUAUGCACAUUGGUUUACUUAAACUUGCAUUGCGUAACACUGACCUAAUUUGACAUACUAGCUAAACUAGCAUAAUAUGCAGACAAUCAAAUUUGAACAAAUUAAAUUAAUACAGUCUCAAUUCUAGAAACCACAAGUAGUUUCUAUGUUUAUUAAUUUUUAGACAUUAUAUAUAGAAACUAGGUUUCCAAUGGAUAGUUACAUAAUAAUCUUUUGACCAAUCACAUAUGUUCUCUCUUUAUUGACUUUCAAUCAUAUCUCUUCGUGUCUUGGUUCUCGCGUAGACAUGAUUUCUUCUCUAAAUCACGAGACGAAUCUUUUGAUACUAAUUAGUCUAUAGUUGAAUAAUAUUUGCCACAAAUAAACGAAAGUGCUACAGUAGCGAAAUCCAAAAAAAUUUCACAUCUCAACAAGGCCUUAGUUUCUUGGGAGUGCCCUAGUAGAGUCAACCCAUAGAACCGUCGAUGCUAGUGUGUACAGAACAUGACAAUACUGUCGUACUUUUCCCGUUUUAACGUCAGUGUCUCGGCGUCUCGCUGAGAGAGAUGACAAACCAAACAACCACAGGGCUGCUUGGCACCUUUGCUGGUUUGCCUUGCAUUUCACAUGGCCAUGUUUGGUUUGCUUGCUCCUGCAGUAGCACCAGCAGAGCUGCAGAGGUUCAGUCUGGCAGAGAACGAGAUGGAUGCAGUCAUCAAGCUUGCCCAGGCGGGAGAGCCAAUUUGUGGCUCGCCUCACUGGCCAAGGAAAUCCUUGCUGAGCCAAGCAAAGCAAGCUUUUUCUGGUGCCACCAAACAGCUGGUCUCGCCAAGCGCUGGGCAAGAGGGCCAAGCAUGACGUACGAUGCUAGUGUGGAGAUGACAAACCAAAGUGUCAAGUGUAUCAGACUGGUUUAAGUAGAUCCUAGGAAUGCUGAGGAUGAAGACAUGAAGAACGAUUUAGCCCUGUUUGGGACUGCUCCAUUCUGCUCCGCUGCCAUCUUUACUAGUCAAACAGGUACACCUCUACAAACUUUAGCUUCAAAAGAAAGGUGGAGUUAAGGGAAAAAUCUAGGUGUUUUGUGAAGCAGUAAAGGGAUACUCCAGACACUCCAGUUUUUUUAAGAGCUACUCAGUGUAAGUUUUGGUGGAGUGAGGCCCAAACAGGUCCAAAAAGGAAUGAAGAUGCAGCAACUGUAGAGAUCAAUAGCAACAAAUGGCCCCAAAUGCAUCUUAGUAUUCAGCAACAAACAAGUGUCAAGCCACUUACCUUGCACAGCAGCGGACCGAUGGAAAAGGAAUGUGAAUUGAAUGAAGCUAUGUAUAAUUUUACACUGUAUUCUGUUGUCAGGCUAUUCUCCUGCUGCCUCUUUUAAUAUACAGCUACAAGGAAUUACAGUGCGUGCUCCAACGACGCUUUUUUUUGUGUUUUCGUACAUCUCUUUUCUCCUUUUUUUUUUGUUGAUGUUAGUACACCAUCACUCGGAGCAGACCCGCCUGUGGCUGCGUGUACUGGAGGCCUUCAUCCAGGAGGAACUGCUCCACAGCUAUAGGCAACCUCGCAGUGCGAGAGCCCUUGGUGUGGUGGCCCGUUCCAACGCAAACCAUGACUUGCAUCCUCUCCCCUGCUGCCCUCGCUGCGCUCUUCAAGGCAGUGAGCUCACCCUUCAGGAUGUGGAUUGCUUCAUUCACAUGCAACCCAUGUAAAUCAAUCAGGCGGUCACCCCCACGUUGGGAAGAAACAGGAUUCCUGCAUGUCAGAAAACGAUAAUAUGAAACUAAAUUAGACUUCAGUCCAAAUUAGACUUCAGUAUUACAUAAGCUGGAACGACCAAAAGUCAACAUGUAAAACAGCUAUCAGACCUUUGUCGGUAAAUAGCUUCUCUAGCUUUCUCAUGAGCUGAUUUCAUUUGCGCAUUGUAUGCCUGCCCCUUCAUGCUGAGUUCCUUCGCAAGAGCCUUGUUGCCAACCAAGUAAGCCUGUCUAGCCUGCCAAGUGUAUCCUUAUGUGAAUACCUUAGCAACUCAUAAGAUAACAAAACUUAAAAACAGUAUGUUACAGACAGUGAACUCUAUUCAUGAAAAACAUGAACCUUACUCGAACAGGCAAAAGAAAUUGCAAGUGUAGGCUUCAGUAUCCAUAUGCAAUAGUGCUUACCUGCUCGAAGCACGCAUUUCGGACCCUAGCAAAAUCACGAGCUUCUCCUCUUGAUUCUGAGUACAUAUUUGCUGGUGGAUUGCAUAUACAGAGACAAAUUAAUCAGCACAUAAUUGGAGCACAGUAAAGGAACUCAAAAGAUAGCAUAAUUCUCCCUGAUUUCUUGCCAUUCUCGAUUUUUUCACUAAAUGAAGAAAACAAGCAAGAGCAAUCCUCAUCCAGACAUGAAACAUAAAGGAGGGAACUGUGCAAUUUGGACCAGAAAGACUUCAGAGUAUAUUAGAUGAGUAUUACCCACUGCAUCGCCAGUCUCAAGCCAUGGGGCAACUCUUGCACUGCUGAUACUUUGAAACUUAUUCCCAGAUGAUUGCUUAGUGCUAGAACUGUACUGUUUGGGUACAGAAAGAGCUGAAACACCAUUACCAUAUUCAGGACCUUUUUUAAACUUCCACUGGCCAGAAUUCUGCGACGCAAGUUUGCGAACAGCUGAAACAAAAUCACCAGCUCCAGUAGGCAUUGCAGAUGAACCACGCCCAUUAAACAUGCCAAGUACAUCCACGUUACCCUUACUGAAACCAUUUUGGUUCUCGACACCUGGAAGUGCAGGGAAAUCCCCAGUGCUAAAGUUUGGUGUGCUGUGGGCCAGACUCAGUGUGUGAUUGGGUGUAGCAUCAACUUGCAUCUGAAAAAUCAGGAAAAACAUAAUUAUGGAUAGUGCCAAAAUGUUCUGGAUCUGCAAUGAGCGUUUUGAAAUCAAUGCAUAAUUGCAAUUGAAGAUGUGAGGAUCCAAAUUUUCUUUUUGGUGAAGAGUACACUUAAACAGCAUGAUAACGAUGUUGUGCAACUAGUCCAUGGCAUGCUUGAUGAGCUCCACAAAAAAUUUGCUAGUAUAUGGUUCUUGUCUAACAUAUGGCAACCCAAUAACAUUUUGAUUGAAAUGGUGGGAGACGUAUUCCAUUGCACAUCAUAAUUACUCCCUCUGUUCCAAAUUGUAAGACAUUCUGACUUUUCUAGAUACAUCUAGUAUCUAGAUAUAAUGUAUAUCCAGGUGCAUCGCAAAAGUUAUGUAUCUAGGAAAGCCAGAACAUCUUACAGUUUGGAACAGAGCGAGUAUUUCCAAACCACUUUGAUAAUAAUUCUAAAGAACAAUGAUCUGACUUCUGAGCAUAAGAGCAUACAUUUAAUUACUUCGCUUUUUCUGGUAAAGCUAAUUCUGAGUGGAUAUCUGGAAGACUUAAAUUAGUGUUGCAGUAAGGAAAGAAUUACCUCUAGCUGGGUGAGGAUUUCAAUGGUAUGGUUGAAAUCACACCCAUUUGCGUAGUACAGCUCUGCAAGGCUCUCUGCUGAAAAUCCAGGGAACUGAGAUGCUAAGUACUCCAGGGGAGCAACAAGGCCAUCUGAUGAGGCAGCAUACUCACUAGCAAAACUAUCAGCAAAGCUUACACCAGUUUCAGAAUCAUAAUGAAGGUCCUGAUUUCCAUUAGCAAUAUGAAGAUCACCAAUAUAAUUUUGCUCCCAGUUGGUUGAACCCAGAUAAUUAUCUUCAUACAGCAGAUUCGUAUGUUCCAGUUCCAGGCCCUUGGUAGCUGGAGAAGAUAAUUCGUGAUGUUCUCUUGAGAAGCGACUGGAUGUUGUCCCAUAAAAGGGGGGUGCAUUCAAGGACAAUCCAACAAGGGACAGUUCUUCAGGCCCUUGUUCAACUUUCUCAAAAGAAGUGAAGUCUGGAAUAAUGUCAUCGGGUAGCUGCUUACGCCAAAACUGGUGUGCCUCAUCAUCCGAGUUAUUAGACUUUGAUGACUCGGACCUAUCUAGGAUUGUUUUUCCAGAAGAAACCCUAAAAUCUGACUUAGUUACAUCUGGAACUGUAGUACUUCCAAGAGAUGGUUUAACAAAUGAAGGUACAAACUCGGCUGCAUUGGGAUUUAAUGAUGUGACUUUACUAGGUAACACUGAACACGCAUCUCCACUAUUUGAAACAACUUUAUUUAGUGAACUCAUCUUAACAGAAAUUACAUGCAAUGUUACAUGUACAAGAGAGAUGCGUUCAACAAUGAUUUACCCAAGCCCUGCAAAGAAACGGGAAAAAAAGAGUUACAUAAAGGCAUGGUGGAGCUACCAAUCCUUGGACAAACACAAAAAAUUAUACUUUUCGAGGUUCAUUAAUGUAGCCUAAAUAGAAAGCUUGUCAGUUAAAUACUCUUAAAAGUGCAGUAGUCCAUAAAAAUAGUCCCUACUUACACUGACUACAGCCAUUUAUUAUUCACACGCAAUUACUUCCUCCUUUCAUCAAUAUAAGUCCAUCCAUGUUUGUCCCAAGUUAAGCUAUUUUUUUUAACUUUGACUAACCGUAUACAUAAAAAAAUCUAUUAUCUUAAAUGAGAAGUGUUAUAUAUUAUGAAACUAUUUCUAAAAAAGUGAAUCUAAUAACAUCAAUCUCCUAUUGUCAAUGUACAUCUUUUUUUAUUGAUGGUCAAAGCUGACAAAAUUUAACUUACGACAAACCUAAAUGGACCUAUAUUUACGGCCAGAUGAGGUUGAUAUAAUCACAAAGCAUAGUGUAGCUCUUGUUACUUGUUAGUAGACCUUUACAUUAGGAUAAUAUUUGAAUGAUAAUAAUUGACUUCCUCUUCCUCUUUCCUAUAAUGAAAACCACAAUUGAACAAAUAAGACAGCGCAGCCAGAGUUUUCUUAGAAGAGCCUCCUUAUUGCUAUUGCUUCAGAAAGAAUUUUCCUUAUUAUCCCAGUCACGGUGUGGCCGUUACGCCACCACCAGCAUCAAUCAAAUUGGUAACUCCCAAAGACCCAACAAUUGUAGCUUUCUUUCCCGAAAUCGAUAGCGUAUUCACAGCAGAAACAAAAGCAAAUGUUUCCUGUCACUCAUAUGCAUGCCUCCUUUACUAAAAGAAGAUGCAGCACCGUACUGCAUCAUAAAAGAAGCAUCUUCUUCCCAACAUGGUAUUAGUUUGCACCUUCCAAAUUCACAACUAUGCUUUUUUCCCUCUGUUCAACGGAACAUUAUUUGAAUAUACAUAAACAGCAAACGAAGCUGGCAAGAGACAACAAAAGAACCAAUUACUACUGUUAUCAAAUGAGCCAGCAAAGCAUAAACUUGAUAUGCUGCCCCUAGACCCCUAGUGGACGCUCUCAAACCAGCGCCGGCCUCAAACUCAUCAAUUGCUUGCAAUUCCAGCCUUAAUUAUACUAAUAAUAAUUAAACUCGAGCGAAGCCAAGAUAUAGCAAUAAAAAGUUGACCAAAGAGCCUCAAAUCAAUUGCUUGCAACUCCAGCCUUAAUCACACUAAUCAUAAUUACACUCGAGCGAAGCCAAGAUAGCAAUAACAAGGUGAGCAAAGAGUGCACAUGCUUUGCUUAAUUGCUCUCGUGUGCGGUGCACGCUCACGACGUGCACCCGACGCUAAAGCGGCGAGAAAAGAAGGGCUUUUUUUUUCUUUUCACACAAGCACGCAGGCGACGGGACACUGGUGAAUUACCAGCCAACCGAACCGACCCAGUGUACCCGACCCGACAGAGGAGGAGGGAGAUCCGAACCAGAUCUACGCGGAAUUCACCAGAUCUAUCUAUCUAUCGAGAGAAGAAGCAAGGAGACGGGGGAAGCCAGUACCUUUCCGCCGGUCGAUGAGCUGAUACGUAGCGCGCUCAGGCGACCGGCCCAUGGGGCGGCUGGCCCUCCGGCGGGGCAAACUAAAAGGAGCCCUCCCGCCCCGCCGCGGUUCGGGCUCUCCCUCCCUCCUGAACAAGGUCGAGUCGGCUCCGGUCAGUCGGAGGCGGACGGGUGCGCGCCCGUGUCAAGGACGGAGACCGGGGCGGGGACGGGGAAGUGGAGGUGAGCGGAGAGAGCGAAGAUGGGAGGGGCGUGGUCGCUGUGGAUGGAGGCGAGGCGGGUGGGUGGGUGGAUGGGUGAGGCCGUGAGCUGAGGCGAGGUGAGGGAGGGAGAGGGGGUGGUGGAGUUUGACCCGACGCGGCGGGCGUGGGGCCCGCGCGGGGCAAUGUAGGGCGCGCGGUGGCGUGGAGGGGAAGUGCGCGGCGCGGUGGGUGGCGGGCAGCCUCGGGAUCCGUGUCUGGCACGGGCGUCGGCCGAACGAAUAUGCGAUUGCCGGGUGGGGAAAUCUCUGGAGCUGGAACCUCUCUCGUUCCGGUGAGGUGGUGCCCUGCGCAGGGUUGCCCUCUCUGUGUUGGUCGCGUGAGUGCAUCUCCGUUGGAGAGCAUCUCCAACAAUUUGCUAAAAAACAUUUGCUAAAUUUUGUGUUUUGACAAGUUGCUAAAAGAUUUGACAAGUGAAAUAAUUUGUCAUCUCCAACAGUUUGUCAAUUGAACUUGCCAAAUUACAAAAAAAAAAACAGACCCACUACUAAACUACCAACUACCAGAUCAAUGGAUCCAUUGUACCUCCGCACACUUGAAGAAUAUAUUCAAAUGCAUCAGCAGAUCAGAAACAAAGAAACACAUAUACAGUUGAAGGAGGACCUGAUCGAACAUCUUUAGAAUCAUCUCCCAGAUUUGUAUUCAUACAAUAUCUGAAAAAUCCCGACUCAUCGAGUUUAUUUUAUUGUCAUUUGAUGUAAACAAAAAAUGACAUUUUAUUUGUAAUUGUACUCGUUACUGUUGUAUUUUUAUUUGGUUAAAUAUUAGUGUCAUCUAGUGUGAUCUCAUGUAAUCAUUUGUUGUCCCAUCUAGAUUUGAUCAAGUCGCUAUCAGUAGCAGCAGGUUCCGAGGCAACAGAAACUUUUCUAUCAAUUCCUGCCGGUGAUAAGACAGGGAGCAGCUCAGCAUAGGGCGCGAUGAAAAAAAAUAUAGCGCGUGGACGGCGGGAAUAUGGGCCAGAACUUUCACCUGGCGUGCGGGAAGAGAAGCGAAGACGAGGAAUCGCGCGAUGGCAAGCGCAUCCGCGCGGCGGAUACCUACACGCGCGGAUGAGAAAUUUGGCAAGCGAAACAAUUUGACAAGUGGGAAUACCAAACUGUUGGAGCAAGUUUUUUGGCUCUUUUACCAAUUUUUUAAGGAUAGCAAGUGUUUUAACAAUCUGUUGGAGAUGCUCUCCGUUUACACUAGAAACAGGGUCACGGCUUUGCCGUGCCUCGGUUGUGACUGGGCCAGUGACAAUAGGGAGUGAAAAUAAAAAUAAAAAACAAUUCAAGCAGCUUUAUGGCUUUCAUAUAUCCCGCUUUGGGUCUUGUUUAGUUCCUCAAGGAAAAAAAUUCACGGCACUGUAGCAUUUUCGUUUGUUUGUAGUAAUUAUUGUCUAACUAUAGACUAACUAAGUUCAAAAGAUUCGUCUCGUCAAUUUCGACAAAACUAUGCUGUUAGUUUUUAUUUUCGUCUAUAUUUAAUACUCCAUGCAUGCGUCUAAAGAUUCGAUGUGACUUGAAAAAUUUUGGAUUUUUGGGUGGAAGUAAACAAGGCCUUGAUAGAAGCGAUUUUUUUUCUUUAGUGAAGUAAAUGUAAAUUGUUGAGGAUCUCUAUGAUUUAAGUUUUUGAUUGAGCUCCUAAUCAAUCUACUUGAUGUUGAUAUAGCAUGGAGUAUUUGUUAGCUAUACUAUACAUAUGUUAAGUAAGAUCCUGUUUGGUUUGGGCUGUUUUUUUAACACUUAUUCCAUUAUUAAAAUACAACUAGAGAAUAAUUUGUGAGACAAUUUUUUAGUCCAAAUAAUUUAUAAUUGGAUAAUAAUUGUUAUAGUUACAUCUGCGACUUUCGAUUACAGUGCGAAUGUAUGAGGCAGCAUAUUAUCGUGAACAUAAGAGAGAUGCAUUGAGCCCGCUUGCUGGUUGCCCGAGCAGGUAGAGGCGGGCAAUGAGGCAGCGCCACAGAGCAAUGAGGCUGGUGGGAAACUUGGGCCUUGUUUAGUUCUAAUUUUUUUUUAAAAUAAACAUUGUAGUUGUUUCGUUUGAAUUUGAUAAAUAUUAUUUAAUUAUAGACUAACUAGGUUUAAAAGAUUCGUCUCGUAAAUUACAGGUGAACUGUGUAAUUAUAUUUUAUUUUCGUUUAUAUUUAAUACUCUAUGCAUAUAUCUAAAAAUUCCAUGUGAUGAAAAAUCUGAAAAAAAAAUUGCAAAUUUUUUUGGCAACUAAACAAACGCCUUGGAAGGUAGCGUGAAGAUGGGGACCCCGGACCCAGCAUUUUAUGGAGCUAGAGACGAAGGCUCUGGAAAGCAUUAGUCGUACGUGUGUUUCGACGUCCGAUUUAGAUCCAACGGUGGAGAAGAUACUGGAGAUUUCUUGCUUACACGUGGCCAAAUGAGCUGCUAGAUCCUAUGGUACAGGAUUCGUCAAGUAGAUGAAAAUUUUUUGAGUGUCACAUCGAAUAUAUCGAAUGGAUGUUGGAAGUAGUUUUUAGAAACUAAUAAAAAAACAAAUUACAUAACUUGUCUAAAAACUGCAAGACAAACCUAUUAAGCAUAAUUAAUCUAUCAUUAACACAUGUGGGUUACUAUAGCACUUAAGGCUAAUUAUAGACUAACUACGUUUAAAAGAUUCGUCUUGCGGUUUUCAACCAAACUGUGUAAUUAGUUUAUUUUUUUUAUCUACAUUUAAUGUUCCAUGCAUAUGUCCAAAGAUUCGAUGGGAUGGAUGCAAAUUUUUUCGGUAGGAAACUAAACACGGCAUAAGCCUGGGCAAGGGCAACUAAGGCCUUGUUUAGUUCAAGCAUGUUUAGAUUGAAGAUAAAAAAUUUUGAGUAUCAUAUCGGAUGUGUCAAAAGAAUGUUGGGAAGGUUUUUAUAAACUAAUAAAAAAAACAAAUUACAUAGCUCGUUUGAAAACUGCGAGACAAAUCUAUUAAGCAUAAUUGAUCUGUCAUUAGCACAUACGGGUUACUGUAGCACUUAAGGUUAAUCAUGGACUAACUAGGUUUAAAAAAUUUAUCUCGUGAUUUUCAACCAAACUGUGUAAUUAGUUUAUUUUUUAUCUACAUUUAAUGUUCCAUGCAUGUGUCCGAAGGUUCGAUGGGAUGGAUAAAAAUUUUUUGGGUGGGGAACUAAAUAGGGCCUCACUCCAAAACCAAAAAUUUUUCAAGAUUCCCCGGCACAUCGAAUCUUGUGGCACAUGCAUUAAGCAUUAAACAUAGUCAAAAAACAAAAACUAAUUACACAGUUUGCCUGUAAAUCAUGAGAUAAAUCUUUUGAACCUAGUUAAUCCAUAAUUGGACAAUAUUUGUCACAAACAAACGAAAAGUGCUACAGUGGCCUGAACCAAAAAUGGUACGACCCUAAACCCUAAACCCUAAAUCCCUACAGACACAUGUGUACACUCUGUUCGCUUGGCUGAUAGACUAUGGCUGAAAGUAUUGUUCGCUGAUUUGUUGUGAGCUCAGUAGAAGUGCUAAAUAGCAUUAUGUCUAUUUAUAUAUAUAUGAGUUGUCUAUGCAACAAUCGAGUGAUUUAGUACUUAAUUCUUUUUUUCUCUACUGUUCAUCUUCUUCCUCUCCUUCGCUGACGUCCACCGCCCUACCGGCAUGAUAGGACCUGGCUAGAGUCAGCGCUGGCCCUAGAAUUUUGAGGGCCUUUUGGCGAUCUCAUCGUGACGGCCUCUCUAGUCUAUAAUAGGAAAAAGUCUAUAUUAUUUCCUCCAAGUUCGGCCUAUGUGCAAAUAACCCCUAAACUAACAUUUGCUUUAAUUUACUUCCUCCAACUAUUUAAGUUGGUCCAACUAAUACCUUAAAAGAUUUUUAUUUUUUGUUUCUCUAUGCACAAAUUAUAUUUUAGUUUCAAAUUUUGUGAGGUGAUAGACAACUUUGUAUUUUGUGUUAGAAAAAUGCAAUAUAUUUUUUUCAUCAUUAUGUUUAUAUGAUAUUGUAUCUCUAGUGUUAAUUUAUUUUUAAAUUUUCUAAGCUAUCAAAAUUUUGAUAAAAAGUUAAGAUAUAUUUUUUCUAACAUAACAUAUGAAACUUGAUAUUAAAACGUAACUAAUACGUGGAAAAACAUAAAUAACUAAUCAUGUUAAGGGGUAAACUAGACAAUUGAAAUGGUUGGAGGGAGUAAAUUGAAUCAAAUGUAAGUUUAAGGGGUAAUCUGAACAUAUGACAAGUUUGAGGGGAGUAAUUUAGAAUUUUUUUUCUCUAUACUAUAUAGGCUAAUUUUACUUGUAAAGGAAAAUCAAAUGCAAUAAUAUUUUUAAAAUUAAACAUUUCUGAUAAUUAUCAAGAUAGAGAAAGAGUGUAGAUUAAAAAACAAUAUAUUUGUACUGCUAGAACUAAUAUGAUUACCUUAAAAAAGAACAGAGCUCCAUCAUACUCAUUGCUUCUUAUACAAAUAUACUUCUUCAGACAUUUCUUGAUGUUCAUCAAAGAUGGUAUUGAGAUUAAUAGUGUCCAAGAUAUUCUCUAAAUGGUGCACAUCUAGGGCCUACAUAAUUUGGCAUGAUCAUAUAAAUAGAAAGUACGAAACUGAAUCAAUUAAUCAAAUUAACAAGAAUCUAAUUGGUGAUUGCAAGUGGCACGACAGACGUUGGCGUGUGUUGGCGGCGACCGCUCGGCUGAUCAGCUCCUUCGGCCUCGUCCUAUGCUAUCUCAUGGAACAAAAGCCAAUGCCUUAGCCCUUAGCCUAUACGUAUACUAGUACUAGUAUAUAAGUUAGGCCCCAAGUCGCAAGGGCCCAUGGCCCACGCACCUGCUGCCCCACCCAUAGGGCCGGCGCUGCUAGAGUUCUGUGGCUGUGUCCUAGACCUAGCCCAACCACCUCCACCAUCAUCAGGGCCCCUAAAUCACUCGGCCACCAUCUCCCCCUCCCUCCCUAGGCAGCCUGCCUCCCCUAGGUCGGCCUCUUUUAUACCCACUGAGGUUGGAGAAGAAAGAGGAGGAGAGGCUCGUCAUGGCCCAAGCCACUCCUGUCAUCAUCUUUGUCUUCGGUAGAGGAGGAGGAGACCGCCUACCUUGUUGGUCCGGCGCUGGUGGAGUUGAGGAAGAAGAAGAGGAAGAAGAAAGAGGUGGGGAAGAGGCGUCGUGCAAGCGCAAAAAACACAUGUGGGCGAGGGCUAAAACAACCAAGUGUUAUUUAGCAUUCCUUAUUUUAAUUGAUGAGAGCUACAACUACAGCGGACACAGAGAUGAAUGAGAAACCAAUGUUAAAAUGGACUAACUUCCAUCGACACCACCCAUAUUUUGGACAGCGACACCAGUAAAUAGAUAGGCAAGAAUCUAAAAAUGAAGAAGCGACAGGAGCACAUCAAUGGCAGAUCCAAAGAAAAGCAUUCAAAUGGUCAAGAUCAAGACACUCAUUAUAAUUGUACGUACAUAACAGAUGUAUAUGUAGCGUUUAUACAGCUGCAUAAGAAUACUUACCGAUAAUUACUAACUCAAUAGACUCGUAAUCACUAUCAUUACUGGGCCGGGAGGAAGCUUCCUCUUGUCACUACAAGCUUUCCACCAACUCUCAAUAUUCUACUCAUCAUCAUAGGUAAAGACAAUAGAGAUGCAUAAAAGAGUACAUCCACUGAAUAGACUCAUCAUCACUAUUGAUAGAGCUGGUAGGAAUUUAUCACCGUGACAAUUAACAACCUCCUUUCCUCACAUUCUCAUCACAAUACACACUAAAACACUGGUUAAAAAAAAUUGGUACAACAUUUCUAACAUCAAGAUGCACACUGCAGAUAAAACAAAUUCCUAAGCUCUUAAUUAAGAGGUCAAACAUCAGCUAGAUGGGCGGUUAUUACUGACAGGAACCACAAGUGAACUGCUUGCAUCAUGUGGUUGCGUCUUCCAUGCAAGCCUCACAGAAGUAUAGAUCUGCGAGGUUUCAGCCAUUGCACCAUUCCCGUGAUCGCCGCAAGCCAAUCUUUUGGUAACUGGGGGAUCAAGAUUAUGCCCAGUUGGUUGAUCGUCUGAAGAUGAUGCUCUCUAAAUGGGUUGUUCCACAUUAAUGUGUUCAUAGCUGGGGCAACAAAGAGCGGUUUGUUGUAGUCCCACGCUCUCACAAUGCAUGUUAAGAGGUUGUCACAUAACCCACCGGCGAUCUGAACAGAAUAAUCUAGCAUCAGUUUUGUUUUUGUAUAAAGUGAAACUAUUUCACCAUUCAUAAAGAGAAAAAGGUACCAUAGCCAGGGUAUUUGCUGAUAAUUGAGCAAUGACCAUAAUAUCUGCCCAUUUACACAGCUCAAUGUGUAAAACUUCAUCUCCUAUCUUCUUCCAGGUAGACCACUCAUCGUCAUCCGUGUAAAGAACAAUGUCACUUGGUAGAGACAAUUUAUCAAUAAAGUGCAAAGAUGAUGCGGUGGCCACGGCAUGAACAUCCGCCCACUCAGAGAAACAACGACAAAGGUUCUCAAAUUUUAUAGUGGCUACACUUCCCGAAGCAGCAAGGAGUACCCGAGGCUUACUAGGUUGUGAGUAGUCCAUCGCCAAAUUCUCUUGUACCGGCUCUGAUGUAGCCAUCAGCUCCGCUUGAAAUGCUCAGCUACAUAUAAUUAGAGCAAGUGAGAGGAUUUGUACAAGUAUAGAAAAACAUGAUUAACAAUGAAAGAUCUAGAGAGAAAUAAAAGAAAAUAGAGAAUAAAUCAUUUCCAAUAAGAAAAAGUUACUUUUCCAUCACUCCAUGUGGCCAUGAGUUUAUUUUUGUAAGGCCGAGGAAUGAUAUGUUUCCAGAUUAUUGACUCUUCUAGUGCUAUGGAAAAUCAGCAUUCCAAGUUUCAAUGAUAAGCGCUUUUCUUUAUCCUCUGCUUAUUUUCAGUUCGAGAAAGGUAGACAAUGUGAUUCCUGUGCAGAACAGUUCAGUGAAACAUACAAAUCUGAACUCUCCUGCAAAUUAGGAAUACAUGCACAUAUUGUCUCGUGUCUCCUCUUAUAUCUAACGACCAUAGGCUAUACAUAAAUAAAGAUAAGGGUUCUAGCACCACUACUGUAUUAUUUCCACGAGCCUAUGCUAUGACUACUGCUAGACAGAAUGCAUCGAAUACUUCAUAUACUGAGGAUUUUGAACACAGGCUAUGCCUAUAGAAUUGUAGAGUUACAGAACAGUACUGCACAUAUCGGUUGAAAGUAAACCAGCAAAGUGAAAUCCAGUUUGUUUUUCGGUCCCUCAACACCAAACCUGCCCAAUUGGCCCAAUUGGUAGAGGCGUGAGCGUGAGGAUACCGGGAUAUGAUCCCGACAGAUUAAUUCUGUAGUUCCCUAAACUCCCUACAGACCAUGGAGGCAAUGAACUAUGAAAUGACCUCCUACUGUAAUUUUGUUCAAAAGGAAUAAAUUAGGCGUAUGGGUAAUAUGAGGGCUGGACACAAUUGGUUUGCAUGAGAGUUCAAUUCUUGGAAAAAUAAAACGCAUUCACUCGCAUUACAUGCUUACAGCGUCCGCCUUACACCCGAGGCGUCCAAUAAACGUUGCUUUGGCGUCUGAAUCACGCCAGAUCGCUUGUGGCGGGCGCCAUACGGACCGACAGUAGGAGAAAGUUGGAGAUCUAUUGGGGAUCGGCAGGAGUGAGAGAGAUGAUUGGGAGGUUUCUCUCACCACCAAGCGGGAGAGGAAGGCAGAAGCAGCAGGACCUCGAUGUCGCCGCGUUGUCCUUGCUGCCGCACCGCCCGUCGAGUAGUAGCUGUCGCCAAGUCACGCCUGAUCUGACGGGGCAAGAGUGGUUUGGGGAGGGAGGGGAAGCAGUAGAGAGAGAAGCACAAAGGAGAGGGGCGGCGGGAAGGAGGAGAUCGGCGGCGCUGGAGACGAGACAGGAGAGCGGCGGCAAGAGCUAGGGGCGGUGACGGCUGAGGAGAUUGGGCUGCGUGGUCUGUUUGUCGCCUGGGCUAGCCCACUUCCUCUGCACAUCCUAUACAGUCCAUAGUUCUGCUCUGCUCACCUCGCCAAACCCCACAGGCCCGCACGCGUUAGUAGCUUCGUAGCAUCUCCAGGAGUCUACUAUCUAAAACACACUACCUAUUUACACAUUACCUAUUUCUCUAUUUAGAUAGCCACUUAUUGUUAUAAACUACCUCUACCUAUAUUUUAUUCUAAACUCUAGUAGUUUUAUCUAAAACAACCUACCAAAACAAGUCCAUGUAAUGUCAUUCUCUUCAAUGUUCUUCUCGCCGGAGGAGAGUUCAUCGAGAAAUGGCCUGUCGCGUACCGGGAAACAUCGGAGCAGAGCGCAACCACCAACCACACCAGGAAGCCCGCGCUGCCUCCCGCGAGGCUCGCCACAGAGCCGCCGCCGUUGAUGAGGGCAUUGUCGGAGGAGAUCUGAGGCCGUGCAGGAUAGAGGCAGCUCGUCACGCUUGGAGCAAGCUCACUGGGGAUGAGAAGAGCCAAGUUCACGCCUGUGCCAGCGAAGAGGAGCGCCGUGCAGGCUCACCAAGGAGAGGUGGGGAGCAAGAUGCAUCUCGUCAUGUUGUGCAGGCUCGCCGAAGCAGUGGCGGAUCUAGAAUUUUGCUAUAGGUUAUGCCACAUCAAAACUUUCAUAUCUUGGUUGGAUGUGUGAUGAAGUAAAUUUUUUUACAGUAAUAAUGGAGUUAAAGUAUCCUUUCAAGAUAUGUGUGAUGAAGUAUAUAGGAAAACAUAUUGUAAAAAAAUAUAUAUAUAGUAAAACAAAAAUAUGUGUGCGGUAAUAGUGCAUCAAAAUUCUCAUCCUGUGGCGAACCUCUUUUUUUUUUAACCUGGCUAUGGCGAACUUUCCAUACCACAAAACCAAGUUGACUUAGUAUAUAGAAAAACAAAUGGAAAUAAUGCAGCCAAAGUAUCUCUUCAAGAAAUGAUGAAAUGUAACAUCGGUUAAUGAUAAUUUUUUGAAGAGCGGUUAAUGAUAAUUGAUAGUACGCAAUAAGACUCUAUUAUAUUUUUUCAUCUAUCGAGCAAAAUUGCAAAUGUUGUCGGUAACAGAAAAAAACAUCAGCAAAUCCGCAUGCAUGUCGCUGAAGAGACUCAUCCUCACUAUCGAUACUGAGCUGGCAGUAAUUUAUCACCGUGACAACUGACAACCUCCUUUCCCCACAUUCUCAUCACAAUACACACUAAAACACUGGUUAAAAAAAAUUGGUACAACAUUUCUAACAUCAAGAUGCACACUGCAGAUAAAACAAAUUCCUAAGCUCUUAAUUAAGAGGUCAAACAUCAGCUAGAUGGGCGGUUAUUACUGACAGGAACCACAAGUGAACUGCUUGCAUCAUGUGGUUGCGUCUUCCAUGCAAGCCUCACAGAAGUAUAGAUCUGCGAGGUUUCAGCCAUUGCACCAUUCCCGUGAUCGCCACAAGCCAACCUUUUGGUAACUGGGGGGAUCAAGAUUAUGCCCAGUUGGUUGAUCGUUUGAAGAUGACGCUCUGUGAAUGGGUUGUUCCACAUUAAUGUGUUCAUAGCUGGGGCAACAAAGAGCGGUUUGCUGUAGUCCCACGCUCUCACGAUGCAUGUUAAGAGGUUGUCACAUAACCCACCGGCGAUCUGAACAGAAUAAUCUAGCAUCAGUUUGUUUUUGUAUAAAGUGAAACUAUUUCACUAUUCACAAAGAGAAAAAGGUACCUUAGCCAGGGUAUUUGCUGAUAACGGAGCAAUCACCAUAAUAUCUGCCCAUUUACGCAGCUCAAUGUGUAAAACUUCAUCUCCUAUCUUCUUCCAGGUAGACCACUCAUCAUCAUCAGUGUAAAGAACAAUGUCACUUGGAAGAGAUGAUCUAUCAAUAAAGUGCAAAGAUGAUGCGGUGGCCACGGCUCGGACAUCCGCCCACUCAGAGAAACUACGACAAAGGUUCUCAAAUUUUAUAGCGGCUACACUUCCUGAAGCAGCAAGGAGUACCCGAGGCUUACUAGGUUGUGAGUAGUCCAUCGCCAAAUUCUCUUGUACUGGCUCUGAUGUAGCCAUCAGCUCCGCUAACGCUCAGCUACAUAUAAUUAGAGCAAGUCAGAGGAUUUGUACAGGUAUAGAAAAACAUGAUUAACAAUGAAAGAUCUGGAGAAAAAUGAAAGAAAAACAGGGAAUAAAUCAUUUCCAAUAAGAAAAAGUUACUUUUCCAUCAAUCUACUAUUGUCAAUGUACAUCUUUUUUUAUUGAUGGUCAAAGCUGACAAAAUUUAACUUACAACAAACCUAAAUGGACCUACAUUUACGGCCAGAUGAGGUUGAUAUAAUCACAAAGCAUAGUGUAGCUCUUGUUAGUAGACCUUUACAUUAGGAUAAUAUUUGAAUGAUAAUAAUCGACUUCCUCUUUCCUAUAAUGAAAACCACAAUUAAAUAAAAAAGACAGCGCAGCCAGAGUUUUCUUAGAAGAGCCUCCUUAUUGCUAUUGCUUCAGAAAGAAUUUUCCUUAUUAUCCCAGUCACAGUGUGGCCGUUACACCACCACCAGCAUCAAUCAAAUUGGUAACUCCCAAAGACCCAAGAAACCGAUAGUGUAUUCACAGCAGAAACAAAAGCAAAUGUUUCCUGUCACUCAUAUGCAUGCCUCCUUUACUAAAAGAAGAUGGAGCACGGUACUGCAUCAUAAAAGAAGCAUCUUCUUCCCAACAUGGUAUUAGUUUGCACCUUCCGAAUUCACAACCAUGCUUUUUUCCGUCUGUUCAACGAAACAUUAUUUGAAUAUACAUAAACAGCAAACGAAGCUGGCAAGAGACAACAAAAGAACCAAUUACUACUGUUAUCAAAUGAGCCAGCAAAGCAUAAACUUGAUAUGCUGCCCUAGACCCCUAGUGGACGCUCUCAAAUCAGCGCCGGCCUCAAACUCAUGAAUUGCUUGCAAUUCCAGCCUUAAUUAUACUAAUAAUAAUUAAACUCGAGCGAAGCCAAGAUAUAGAGCCUCAAACCCAUCAAUUGCUUGCAACGCCACACUAAUCAUAAUCACACUCGAGCGAAGCCAAGAUAGCAAUAACAAGGUGAGCAAAGAGUACACAUGCUUUGCUUAAUUGCUCUCGUGCGGUGCACGCUCACGACGUGCACCCGACGCUAAAGCGGCGAGAAAAGAAGGGCUUUUUUUUCACAUCACGCACGCGACGGGACACUGGUGAAUUACCAGCCAACCGAACCGACCCAGUGUACCCGACAGAGGAGGAGGGAGAUCCGGACCAGAUCUACGCGGAAUUCACCAGAUCUAUCUAUCUAUCGAGAGAAGAAGCAAAGCCAGUACCUUUCCGCCGGUCGAUGAGCUGAUACGUAGCGCGCUCAGGCGACCGGCCCAUGGGGCGGCUGGCCCUCCGGCGGGGCAAACGAAAAGGAGCCCUCCCGCCCCGCCGCGGUUCGGGCUCUCCCUCCCUCCUGAACAAGGUCGAGUCGGCUCCGGGUCAGUCGGAGGCGGACGGGUGCGCGCCCGUGUCAAGGACGGAGACCGGGGCGGGGGCGGGGAAGUGGAGGUGAGCGGAGAGAGCGAAGAUGGGAGGGGCGUGGUCGCUGUGGAUGGAGGCAAGGCGGGUCCGCGGGUGGGUGGGUGGAUGGGAGCCGGAUUCAGGCCUUGUUUAUUUCGUCCAAAAAAAUUAAUUUUUUUUUUCAAAAUUUCCAUCGUAUCGAAUCUUACCACAUAGAUUAUUAAAUAUAGAUAAAAAUUUAAAACUAGUUGCACAGUUUGUCUAUAAAUUACGAGACAAAUUUUUUUAAGCCUAGUUACUUUAUAAUUGGACAAUAUUUGUCAAAUAAAAACGAAAAUACUAAAAUAUCAAAAUCUAAAAACUUUUUGGAUCUAAAGCCUGAGUAACUUUACAUCAAUCUCCACCCUCCAACUGACAUCUAACGACUGCACGGAGUUUCAGUUUCAUCGACCAAGCAUCAUAAAACAAGAGACAAAGCAUUUUUAAAUUAUAAGUUAUUUCAAAAAUUUCCGAGAGUCAAAGUAUUUUUAAGUUUAACUAAAAUUAUAGAGAGAAUACUAAGAUUUGUAACAUAAAACGAGUAUACUAUAAAAAUAUAUUUAAGAAAGAAUCUAAUGAUAUUUAUUUGAUAUCAUAAUAAUUGUAUUAUAUAAAUUUAGUCAAAUUUAGAAUAGUUUAACUCUCUAAGAUUUUUAGAAAGUCUUAUAGUUUGGGAUGGAGGGAGUGUCGAAAUAACUUUAUUCAUUUUAGCGGACGAAAAAAAGGAAGACAAAAAAAAUAACCAAAACAAAACGAAAAAACAAAUAAAAAACUAAAAAACUAUCAAGAUCUAGAAACUCCUCUUAGUUUAUAAAUUUAUUAAUAUUCACUACUCCCUCAGUCCUCAAAAGAAUAUAUAUUUUAUUUUCCAAGAAGUCAAACAAUAUCAAGUUUGACCAAAUAUAUAAACAAUUAUGUUAAUAUUUAUGAUGUGCAAUAAGAAAUCUAUAAAUAAAUUAAAAAAUAAAAAUAGGACCCGCAAGCAGCAAAUAGCACCACCACUCACCACUACACCGGUUUGCCACGCCAAUGUUAUCAUGCCAUCCUAGAGGCAGCUAAGAAACUCUUCAUGUUUGAAUAGGCGGUUAAUUAGAAAUUGAAGCAUAACUAUUAUAAACCUGGCGUUACUAGAAAUUAUCUUUUCCUAUUUAGAUAAGAGGGACUGCCCAUUAAAGAGCCAAAACGGAGACCAAGAAAACUAACCAAAGCGACUCUGCUAACAACAUGAAAAAGAAAAAUGAAGAAACAAAUAAAAAACACUGACAACGUAAGAAUAUCAAAAAACUCCUAUUCAGAUUAGAAAAAUAAUAAUAAUUCUUCAAUAUUAGAUAUAGGUAUAAACGUGAACUAAAAGUAUAUAUAUAAUUAUUUGUGUUGGCUGCCGGUUUAUUCUUGAGAGUGACCUACUGCUUAAUCAUUAUUUAUUCAACCUGUAAACUAUCAGAAACUUUUCCUUGAAAUCGCUUGUGCUGGCCUGCUAUGCUUGUGCGUGGUCCUGUUGGGUGGCAUGAUGAACCUAAAAGUCUAUGCAACCGUUAGAUUCUAGUUGUAAGGUGGAGAUUGAAGCAAAGUUAUGUUGUGACUUUACUCUAUAAAGUCACUGAAUCCGGCUCCGAAGGGGAAGUGCACGACGCGGUGGGUGGGGAUUCGGGUCUCGCACGGGCACACUGCACCUGGCAAUCGGACGGGCGUCUGCCGAUAUACGAAUGAAUAUGCGAUUGUCGGGGGGGGGACCUCUAGAACUGGAACCUCUCUUGUUCCGGUGGGGUGGUGUCAUGUGCAGGGUUGCCUCUCUGGUGCUGGUCGCAUGCGUGCGUCUGCGUUGACCGAGCCUAGGCGAGGGUGACUGAAAAUAGUAGGAGUAUGCUGUUGCAAUGCAUGGGUGUCGCAUACAGUUUGGUUGGUUUCCCUUCCCUCUCUUCUUGCAGCUAAGUUGCAACUUGCACGUUGCUGUUUCAAGGACUGCUGCCUAGGUCAAGUGUGUUUUCAGCCCAUGGAAAGGCGGUUAAGAGUUUGUCCAGAUUCGUAAAGCUAAAGUAGUUUUCGUUUCAAUAGUGUGUUGUUCCGUUACAGACACAUAGAUUCUAUUCAGUUAUAAUUAUGUAUUUUUCAAUUGGAUUUGGUUUAGUAGAAGUGCUAAGUAGCAUUAUGUCUAUUUAUAUAUAUAUGAGUUGUCUAUGCAACAACCGAGUGAUUUAGUACUCAUAUUCUUUUUUUCCUCUCCUAUUCAUCUUCUUCCUCUCCCCCGCCGACGCCCACCACACUGCCGCGGUGCGAUAAGACAUGGCUAGAGCUCUGUGGCCAUGUCCUAGACCUAGCCCAACCGGCUCCCCGUCGCUAAAGCCCCUAAACCGCCCAGCCACCAUCUCCCCCUCCCCGCCUGAGCAGGCUGCCUCCCCUUGUCGGCAUCUUUUAUACUCGUUGAAGUUGGAGAAGAAAGAGGAGAGGCUCGUCAUGACCCAAGCCACUCCCGCCGUCAUCUUCGUCUUCGAUAAAGGAGGAGGAGGCGCCUACCGCGUUGGUGCCAACGCCGGCGGAGUUGAGGAAGAAUGAGAAGGAGGUGGGGGAGAGGUGUUAGCGCAACUGAAAAAACACAUGUGGGUGGGGCUAAAACAACCAAAUGUUGUUUAGCAUUCCUCAUUUAAAUCGAUGAGAGCUACAACAUACUAUGGCGGGCUCAGAGAUGAAUUAGAAUCUAAUAUUGUAAUGGACUUAUUUCCUUCGUCUUUCACCUCUAGCGUUUUUAUUGAAGCUUCCUUAGCUAUAACAUUUUUGUGAGGUAGUCUUAUAAAGAUGUAGUGGUUUUGAGUGAAGGGUUCUUGCGGCCUCUCUAAUAGAGAGCGAUAUGUUUUUUUUCCUUGGCGAUGUUAUGUGGUGUCAUAUUUCUCAAUAAUCAUGAGAAACCUUGUGAAAAAUCCAACUUUCAUCUACAGGCAAAUGAUAACAGUGUCGUGUUCUCUUGGAGGCAUUGUCUUGUACUAGUUUCUAUCUCGUUUUGAAGAACAAUUAGGUGGCGAUGAUGUGGCCUAACUUAGGUGGGUAGUUUGUCAUCUGUUCUCAUGUUUUUAGAACUGAGCUUGCAAUGUUUAGUCUCAUUUCUUUUUUCUUAAUUAUAAAUAAAGGUCAUUGGUCUAUGUUACGCUACAACUUAUCUAACGUAAAAUUCAGGUGGUCAUGUUUCUACGAGUGGAGCUAUAGACCGUUUUGCUUUGGCAUGUGAGUGGCUAGGCUGAGGAUUUAGAGGAAUUUCAGAGAACUUAAUAAUAGGAUUUCACUUGAGCCAAACGGAACUUGUGUAGUGGAAUCGGACAAACUUCCAUACGUGAAGCUUUGUACCAGCAGCAUUCAACAUCAUCAAAUUUUGAUGUAUAAUUCCCUCAAAAACAUGAUGUAUAAAAAGGCACUGUACGAAAUAUCCUAAACAGCAAUCAGCAAGUUACAGGAUAAUUUGCAUACAUGGAUACGAUUGUAUAGAAUGCUUAAAGAAGAUAGCACAGAAUUACUCCAGUACAAUGUUCUUACAACCUGAAUAUAACGGAACAGUCCUUGUCCUGAUGUACUCCAAUGAGUGAUUAUAUACUACUUAAUAACUUCAUGCUCGAUCACACGGAGCGUGAUUUGCUCCUCUCUCGAGCAAUCAUCAAUCGAUCACGGCACGAAUUAUUCUCCCGGACGGCGACCUACACAUGUACGUACUUCUCUACCACCACAUCACAUGCCACCGGAGGUUUAUUCUUGUACUACUAAUUCAAUAAUACAACCAACUAUACAACUAAUUAAUUAAUUAAUUAAUUAAUCCAUCACCAGCUCAAUCAACCAACCAGCUAGUGACCCCAAGCAUUGCCAGUUUGCCACCAGCACCAAGCAAGCAGGCUCGCUCGCUUCAUUCGUCGGCUCCAUCGUGGUACCCGGGCCCGGCGGCCACCUUCCGGCUCUGCGGUGGCGCAGCUGGAGACGCGGGCGGCGAGUCGACGAGGCAGCGGCGGAGCAGCCGCGCCACGGCCGCCACGAGGUCGUCCUCGGCGGCGGACGCCGUCCUGUACGACGGCGCGGCGCGCGCGAACGCGACGUGGCGGUCGAGCGCCUCGGCCGUGGUGAUGGCGCUGCCCUCGCGCCGGAUCUCGUCGCCCACCGCCUCGGCGCAGAGCCCGCAGACCCAGCGGCCCAGGUACUCGGCGCGCACCGCCGCGAUGUACGCCGGCGUGCACUCCUCCGUGAACCCGCAGCACUCGCACUUGGCCUUCUCAACCUCCAUGGCCCUGCCCUGCGUUUUCCUUCACUCUCCCUUGCGGCAGCAGGUUCCAGGCUUUCACUUUCAGUGCAGACGACGUAGAGCUCGAUCGACCUCUCAGUCUUACCGCUCCUUCUCCCAGACGGCGUAGGACGACGGGACGGACGGCGCCGCUGCCGCGGCGCGGUGGCUGCUCUGCUCGCUCGGGACGCUUGCAACGACGACGACGACGGUUUCGGCGGCGGAUGCUGCCGGUGACAUCGCAGGCAGGCGACGUCUCUCCCUCCCUCCUCCGGUCUCCGGGCCUCUGCAGCAGCUCGGCUCGCCCUGCCCUGCACCGCUCGCCGCGCUAGCUAGCUAGCUAGAGCGAGUUCUCUCCUUCCCCGCGCCGCGCCGCGCUAUCUCCUGCUCCAACACCAUGUGGUCUCCAGGUGUAUUUAUCCACAAACGUCGUGGCAGCCACGGGGCCCGCGGGGAAGGCAACGCCGCUAUCUACGAGGCCCCACCCAGCACCUCUGCGUCCUGACCCCACACGUCGGUCGGCGUGGGUCGGCUAGCCUCCCGUGUCUGCAGGAAGGCAGGGCCGCGAAAGGGCGGUCCACGUCAGGGCGCCGAGCUGAGCUGGAGGCGCGCCCACCCUUUCCAAAGUUUUCAUUGUGUGGACCGUGACAGCUGGCGACGGGUGGGGCCCGUGCCGGAAGCGAGCGAGUGGAGGGGAGCGGCGGCCGCAGCGCCAGCGCCACUCGUCGGCUCCGGUUGGGUGGGUGUGGAUUCGGUGCAGGUUCGGUUCAGCAUUCAGCUGGCCAGUCGCUGUCGUGAGGGCCCCGCGCGCCCAUUUUCCUUGCUGGUUCCGUGCUUUUUAAAUUUCUAUAAUUCUAAAAACAAGGAAAAGGAUUUUGGCGCCACUGAUGUUUUUGUCUGGGGUUGGUGCCUCCAAUCAUUCAUAGGGGUAGCUGAAUUACUCUUGGAGGAGGAGAAUUGGAAAGAAAGAGAUGGCGUCUCAGUUAAUCAGUUGAAGUGUUAGAGAGAACCAGUAACUUCUUGUAGGUCGUGCUAUUUUUCAUUAAAAAAAACAAAACAAAUUUGCAGCAUACUUUCUCCAUCUAAGGCCGGCUCUAUAAUUUUAAAGGUCUUUGGGCAAGUAAGAAGAUAAGGACCCGUUCAACUAACUUUUAAUAUCAAAAUUACUUUAUAUAGUACAGAUAAUAAAAAUUACUUUGCAAUAUAUGUGUAGUUCAUAAAACAUAACAAUAUUUUGUUCUUCUUAUUUUCUUUUCUUUUCUUUUUUUAGUACCCAACAAAUAUUUUUUAGGCAACAUCUAAUAUAUUUAGAUAAAUACAUUGAAUUAUAAAUUUAUAAUCCUAGGCCCUAGCACUAUACUAGCGUAGUCCAUACACAAAACAAAAAAGAUAAAAUGAAAAAUACUAAUCGAUCAUGGUUGUUGGUGUGUUGCUUACUAUGAUGGCGUGUGUGUUUGUUGUCCGCUGUCCCAAUUGUUAUGUAGAGUAGGACUAGAAGGAAGAGUUAUCUGGCUUUGGCUAGUUUGUCUUGGACCUCCAAAUGCUCAUUAUGCCAAAUAGAAUAUAUAUAUAUAUAUAUAUAUAUACACACACACACACACUCUUGGCUCUUGGGCCUCCAAGCUCCAUGGGCCUCCGGUGGUCGCGUGGGAGUGGCCAUAUAUAUGUGCGUACGGCCUUCGUGUACGAUGAUCGAUGAGCGUCCGACCAGGGCGCACACAAGUCCAGCCUUGGCUGUGCAAGCUAGCUAGCAAACGUGACGAAAGUCGAGCACAAUGGUUUUGGUGGAAAGAUGCACGCGACUGGUACAUAGCAGGUCGUAGUACUGCUUGCUCGUGCACAUGCCUGAGUUGUAUGGAAGCUAGGCGUCGCUAUCAUCCUGGCCGUCCGAUCGAGGUACGACUGUACCAGUGUACUGUUGAGGUGCCGUGCGCCACCGUGUACACUUUGGAAGCUAGUGCGUGCCGCAAGAGGACGAGCUAGGAAGGGACUCAUCACGUGUGGCUACGCUACGCCUAGUCUCCUACUACGUAUACGCGAGCUCAGCAUUCACCAUUCACCCGUAUAUAUCGUCUUCGUUCGAUGCCGCUACAUCCGUGUCAGGUGGCUAAAUAAGCGCAGUGGAUUUAGCUGCUGGUCAAAGUCCAGUUGCCCAGUUGGCCGGCCAGGAAACGCGUCGGCAACUUGGCAUCGCCGGCCACCGCGUCGCGUAGAGACGACGGCCGCGGGCGGGCGGGCGCCAAAGGCGAGCAGACGUGCGGCGUGCCUCCCGCUGGCGCGGCCUCGACCCGACCCGGACCCGAUGUCAGCUGUGGUUGCGGUUGCGGUUCGUCCUUUGAACGUGCCUACAACUAGAAGCCGGGCGACACGCCGCGGCGAAACCGGAGGACAGGUCGCGUCCGGCGUCCGUCGUCAGCCGUGCUCAGCGUCUGGUCCGAGUCCGAUCUGACCCUUCCUCCGCCCGCCUGCCGUGUUCUCUUCCGUGGAGACGCGACGACGCAGGCUGCCGCCGCCGCCGCCGCGCGCCAGGGCUCGUGUGCGUGUGCGUCUCGCUGCGCCCGACCCUCACCGGAUGCAGGCCGCGGUAGGACAUGAGCGCCCAACAGCCGGCAGGUGACGUGACGGUGAAACGUGAGCCGAAUACAGCGGCGGCGUUCAUGGGUAAGGCCUUGUUUAGUUCCGAAAACUGAAAAGUUUUCGGAACUGUAGCACUUUCGUUUGUUUGUGGUAAAUAUUGUCCAAUCAUAGAUUAACUAGAGUCAAAAGAUUCGUCUCGUGAUUUACAGUCAAACUGUGUGAUUGGUUUUUGUUUUCGUCUAUAUUUAAUGCUUCAUGCAUGUGCCGCAAGAUUUGAUGUGACAGGAAAUCUUGAAAAUUUUUUGAAUUUCGGGAUGAACUAAACAAGGCCUAAGGGUAAUCUCCCGGCGGGACCACGCCGGAUACAGUGAUUAAUAACGUGACCCGUCGUGACAGCGCCUGCAACGAUCCGGCGCAUGAUGAGCGGCUCGUACGACGGUACACUAGUACACUGACGGCACCGUACCUGUUCCUGUCGACAUCAGAUGGCCUUGUUUAGUUCCAAAAAAUUUUACAAAAUUUUUCAGAUUUCUCGUCACAUCGAAUCUUUAAACGCAUACAUAAAGUAUUAAAUAUAGAUGAAAAUAAAAACUAAUUGCACAGUUUAGUCGGAAUUGACGAGACGAAUCUUUUGAGCCUAGUUAAUCCAUGAUUGGAUAAUAUUUGUCAAAUACAAACGAAAGUGCUAGAGUAUCGAUUUCCCAAAAUUUUUGGGAACUAAACAAGGCCAGGCUUUGUUUACUUCGAAAAGUGAAAAAUUUUUGGUACUGUACCACUUUCGUUUGUUUGUGACAAAUAUUAUCCAAUCAUAGAUUAACUAGGAUCAAAAGAUUCGUCUCGUGAUUUAUAACUAAGCUGUGUAAUUAGUUUUUGUUUUUGUCUAUAUUUAAUGUUUAAUGCAUGUACCACAAGAUUCGAUAUGACGGAGAAUCUUGAAAACUUUUUGGUUUUCAGAGUGAACUAAACAAGGCCGUAGUUCUGAAUGUAACAUUUUCGUUUGUUUGUAGUAAAUAUUGUUCAAUUAUAGAUUAAUUAGGAUCAAAAAAUUUGUCUCGCGAUUUACAGGUUGUAAUUAGUUUUUGUUUUCAUUUAUAUAUAAAGCUUUAUGUAUGUUUUUUUUUUUGAGGGAACUGGAGGGGCCGGAGCCCAGCUUUAUGCAUGUGCCGCAAGACUCGAUGCGAUGAGAAUUUUUUGGUUUUUGGGUUGAACUAAACAAGGCCAGAGUAGACCAGACGCUGCUAAUAGAGACGUGAUCACGUGAACGAAGUAGACUCCACGGGUUUACCCCUGGGUUCACACUUCCGUUCCAUUUCAUCACCUGUACUCCAUUCGUGGCCAGAAACCCUUUUUGACGGAUGUGCUCACUCACUGCCUCUUUGAUCUGCGACCGCGACAACUUUAUUAGACGGGACGGGCGAGCUGAUUUCCGUCUCAAAAUCCAAAUCGGCUUUGAGUUUUCUCUAUAUGUAAUCAUGAUCUUUCCUAGCAACCUGUGGUCCUGUUGUUGCUGAAGAUCGAAACAAUAUUUGGAGUAGACUGUGAUUAUAUACCUAUUAGAACAAAUCGAUUUCAUUUUACAUGUCUUAAACUCUUAAUAAUCAAAACAUCUUCGAUGAAAUGGCGCACAUGAAUCUGCAACACAUAAACCCCAAGUCAUUUUCUCUAUUGCAUAGGAAAGAGAAACGGCGACAUGACGCCAAUUUAUUAUGCACCGCAAUUUUCCAAGAAUUGAUAGUAAAUUACAAUUUGCAGUCCUGAUUGUUUUGAGGCCAUGAGAAUGCCACGUCGCGCACUUCCGCUUUCUUAAAGUGAAAAGCGUGAAGAUUUUUUUCGUUACGAUACGACUCUUUUCCUUUUGUCCGCACCAUUGCAAAAUUAUCAGUAGACUGGAAUUACUACAUUGAGUCAUUGACCCAUGGUGCAGUAUGCUGCCACUUGCAACACAAACGCGUGGCGAAAUCGAUGUUUCUGUCUUCUCCAUAUAUGUCCUUGGCUCAUAUAUAUUUCUGAAAUUCAGAUUCAGUGUAGUGAAAUGUACGUACACAGUUAUCCAAAUGUCUUAACGGAUUCCAAUUGACAAGCCUUUCCUCAACAGAUCCAUGUGAGGUGAAAACGUCCCUUCAUUGCUAGUGAGGUGUAGUGGAGACGACGACUCGAUUGCCGACCUGAUACUACUGGUUGUUGCUAUCCUCCUCCUCCAUCCCUGAUGCUUAUCUGCAUUCGGCAGGAGCUUGGCGAGCGACUCGGCGUUAUCUUUUGUUGGCCACCAGCUUUGGUGAAUCUGGCCUCAGUUUGUCCAUGUCAUUCUCACUUUGUUGUUCGUUCCUGCGCCCGCCAAAUGCCAAUGCACGUGCCUCCUAUUCUACCUGCCUGAAGUGAUACACACGUCUUCGGACCUGAACACUUGGGUGCAAAUAAAAGCGCAGGUAGGCCGUCAUGUACUCAUGUCUCGUCAGCUUGGCCAUGUUGCAGCUCCAUGAAAAGAUUAUCGUCGUGCUCGUUGGACCAGGAUUAGUUGAAAAGAUAUCCGUCGACACCACCCAUAUUUCGGACAGCGACACCAGUAAAUAGAUAGGCAAGAAUCUGAAAAUGAAGAAGCGACAGGAUCACAUCAAUGGCAGAUCCAAGUAAAGCAUUCAAAUGGUCAAGGUCAAGAGACACUCAUUCCAACCGUACAUAUAUAACAGGUGUGUCAAAGAGGGUAGAAAAGUUUGCUGCAGCGUUUAUACAGCUGCAUAAGAAUACUUACUGACAAUUACAAACUCAAUAGACUCGUUAUCACUAUCAUUACUGGGCCGGGAGGAAGCUACCUCUGUCACUACAAGCUUCCCCCCAACUCUCAAUAUUCUACUCAUCAUCACAGGUAAAGACAAUACAGAUGCAUAAAAGAGUACGUCCACUGGGGGGAUCAAGAUUAUGCCCAGUUGGUUGACCGUUUGAAGAUGACGCUUUGUGAAUGGGUUGUUCCACAUUAAUGUGUUCAUAGCUGGGGCAACAAAGAGCGGUUUGCUAUAGUCCCACGCUCUCACGAUGCAUGUUAAGAGGUUGUCACAUAACCCACCAGCGAUGUGAACAAAAUAAUCUAGCAUCAGUUUUGUUUUUGUAUAAAGUGAAACUAUUUCACUAUUCACAAAGAGAAAAAGGUACCUUAGCCAUGGUAUUUGCUAAUAAUGGAGCAAUCACCAUAAUAUCUGCCCAUUUACGCAGCUCAAUGUGUAAAACUUCAUAUGCUAUCUUCUUCCAGGUAGACCACUCAUCAUCAUCAGUGUAAAGAACAAUGUCACUUGGUAGAGAUGAUCCAUCAAUAAAGUGCAAAGAUGAUGCGGUGGCCACGGCUCGGACAUCCGCCCACUCAGAGAAACUACGACAAAGGUUCUCAAAUUUUAUAGCAGCUACACUUCCUGAAGCAGCAAGGAGGACCCGAGGCUUACUAGGUUGUGAGUAGUCCAUCGCCAAAAUUCUCUUGCACUGGCUCUGAUGUAGCCAUCAGUUCCGCUUGAAACGCUCAGCUAUAUAUAAUUUGAGCAAGUAAGAGGAUUUGUACAGGUAUAGAAAAACAUGAUUAACAAUGAAAGAUCUGGAGAGAAAUGAAAGAAAAACAAGGAAUGAAUCAUUUCCAAUAAAAAAAGUUACUUCUCCAUCACUCCAUGUGGCCAUGAGUUUUAUUUUUGUAAGGCCGAGGAAUGAUAUGUUUCCAGAUUCUUGACUCUUCUAGUGCUAUGGAAAACCAGUGUUCUAAGUUUCAAGGAUAAGCGCUUUUCUUUAUCCUCUGCUUAUUUACAGUUCGAGAAAGGUAGACAAUGCAAUUACUCUGCAGAACAGUUCAGUGAAACGUAAAAAUCUGAAUUCUCCUGCAAAUUAGAAAUACAUGCACAUACUGUCUCGUGUCUCCUCUUAUAUCUAACGACCAUAGGCUAUACAUAAAUAAGGACAAGGGUUCUAGCACCACUACUGUAUUAUUUCCACGAGCCUAUGCUAUGACUACUGCGAAUGCAUCCAAUACUAAAUAUUCUCAGGAUUUUGAGUUACAGAACAGUACUGCACAUAUCGGUUGAAAGUAAACUAGGAAAGUGAAAUCCAGUUUGUUAUUCGGUCCCUCAACACCAAACCUGCCCAAUUGGUAGAGGCGUGAGCGUGAGGAUACCAGGACAUGAUCCCAACAGAUUAAUUCCGUAGUUGCCUAAACUCCCUACAG
Molecule: long non-coding RNA, 79278 nt
Filed under: Sorghum bicolor (sorghum)
Lineage: Eukaryota; Viridiplantae; Streptophyta; Magnoliopsida; Poales; Poaceae
Description: long non-coding RNA (SBIC_LNC016938)
Source: RNAcentral